RNAcentral lists this long non-coding RNA (53653 nucleotides) under Coffea arabica (coffee). Its description in RNAcentral is "long non-coding RNA (CARA_LNC001061)". The record is from RNAcentral. Lineage: Eukaryota; Viridiplantae; Streptophyta; Magnoliopsida; Gentianales; Rubiaceae.
GAGGUAUAUUCUUAUCACUGUUGAAGUACUUCAGAGAAAGGACCUUCUUGUUGGUGUUUGUGUAUCCCGUUAUCUUUUGAGUUCCACGCCCUAGUCUCUACUUAUCUGCAAGUUGACACUGAUGUUCAUUUUCCACAUCAGAGCCACAGUUGGGUUUUUAACUCAAACAUGUCCUUUAAGUACACAGUUACGAAUGCAUAGAUUUGUUGAGUGUGCAUAAUUAAAGUGCUAAGUGGGCUUUCUUAGGUUAAUUAUAAUGAAUAUGAACUCGUUAGGUGCAAAGUUCUGAAUGACCAACCCUCUUCUUCUUCCCAGUGAUCAAACUUAGUUAUCUCAAAUUUUGAUGUUUUCUUGGGAAAGGUCUAAUGCCAAUUCCCUAGAAUCCCUAAUAUUAAGCCAAUUGUCAGUGUAUGGCUUCCUACAUUCCACUCACUCAAUAAAAUGAGUUUUUUCUCUCCUGCAUUCUGCUUUUUGGAGAAUAUUCUUGUCAUCUUCCUAAUGGCUUGGGGAAUAUAAAUUUUUGAACGCAGGCAACAAGUGGGUUGGAACUCUGAUUAAGUCUUAUGUCAUGGAGCUAUUGAUGUACUGUUGAUUUUAUCCCUCUAAAUCACAUUGGACUUUCGUCCCCCACUCGUGUUUUGUAGGGUGAUACAUGGCUUUCUAGUUUUUAAAUCGAGUUGCAUUGCUGGUCUGAACCGUUUGUAUUUGAUUUUUUGUUUUAAAAACUGAAAUAUUUCAUGGUCGGAGAUGUCUUUGGUUGUAUACGAGCUAUAGCUACCAUGGGCUUUUCUUUCUGCUAUAUAAUGGAAUAAGCCUUUGCAGGUUUCUGUGUUUCGCCCUUUUUAACUGUAUUGGCCUUUGGGUAUUCUAGGUUUUUGGGUUGGACAGAAGGUACUGGUUCAUCCCAACUUAUUCAGAAGAAGAUAUACGAAGGAUACCUGCCCUACAGGUCUUGAAUAUCCGUCGAAACCUGACUUUGAUGCCCAAGAAUUCUGAACCUUGUUCGACAUUUUGUAAGAAAACGGGUUUCUUCCCUAGUCGAAGCUACAGUGGAGCACCAAAAGCACGAUUUUUUCACCCUUUAAUUUGCAUGGUUAUUGAUUUGGGACUGGUGCAGCCGUCUGGUGGCAACAACUCGAGGAUGAUUAACCUGGUUGGAGUGGAAGCCCUUGGACCGCACAGGCGAGGAUGCCUUGACGAUCUGAUUUGCUGACACGUGUUGAUUAGAACUCUGGGUGGUAGGUUGCAUACAGAAAAGAUCCCGUUGAGAUGGUGGCCAUGUUUGAUGUUCUUGUAAGCUUUAAUUGUAGUUUCACAAAGAUGUAGAUAGUCUAUCUCAGUAGCUAACACGUAAUGAUGGUGUAACCCUUGUGAUCACUUGUGUUGGUGCCUGGAGAAAUCAAUUAGAGGAGAAAUGUUUUCUACUCUUUCAUGUAUUACGUACGCUAAAUGUCAGGGCCUUCAAUAUAAUCCUAGUUGUCGUUUUAAUUUUAAGUUCUGAAGGCGAAUGCAAAAUGAAAAUGUUACUCUUAUAGGAAGAUGGAGCUCUGCCCACGAAAAAACAAGUCAUUUUUUCCCCUUCUAUCCACGUCUAUCUUGGAUUGCUAUUCUAAAAAGUUUUUAUUAAAAAAAUUUAUAUUGAAAUAUAGUGAUUUAAUAUAUGUAAGAAUCAAAUUCAGCUUCGUAUAUGAAUCAAAUUCAUUUGUAGCCCAAGAAGUUUAUGCUUCUAGCUAGGACAAAAUGUUUCACAAUUCUUGAAUCCUUUUUCGGCAUUAAUGGCUCGUAGUUAUCAUGAAAUUGGAGCUAGGCAUUAUGUUUUCAAAAACUGUUAUCCUGUUUGGAUUGCAGUUCUUUAGAGCGUUUAUUGUUUUGACAGGUUUUAUAAAAAAUAUCUAUAUAUAUAUAUAUAUUCUGUAAAUAUAUCAAAAUUUUUUCCGAAGAACACUCAAUAAAACUUUCCCCAAAAGCUGCAAUUCAAUUGGGAGCGUGAGAAUUCCAUGCAUUAAAGGAACGUUCUGCAGACCAGAAGAAGACAUUCUUAUUAAUAUUUCACUUUUUAUUUUGGAGGCUGAAAAACGCAAAUACUCCUGUAGAGUAGUACUUAAGUGGCAAAAAUUUCAAAUCAGUUGAGUGACCCCCAAAAAUAAUAAUAAUAAUAAUAAUAAGGGUCAAAUGCAAAAAAUCCCCCACAAACUAUAUACCCAGUCGUAGUUUACCCCAUAAACUAUAAUAAUAGGCAAUUUGCCCCGUUAAAUGAUAUGUUUGGACAAACACUACCCUACUAUCUUAAAUCCUUCUUCUUUUUUUUUUUCUCUAUUAGAUUUUUUCAUUUUUUCCUUUUAUUUAUUUUCUCCAUCUCUCGUGGAACUAACCAACGUCUCUCUCUAAUGUGAAAAAACUUACAUCAAAAAUUUUAAUAUUUUUUAAACUGCUUUUUUAAUUUGUUAUUUGUUAAAUUCAUUCUUAAUAAUUUGUCAUAAACUCUUUAUUAUUACAAAAUAUAUGAAGCUUAUAUUGUAAAGUGUAUUAAUCUAGUAAUUCAACAAUUUAAGUACCUAUAAACUAAUUAGGAGUUCACAGUUACUCAACUACUUAUAAUAAAAGUAACAUAUUUAUAUCACAUAAAAAAGAAAAGUUAGCAAUUGUUAUUUGUAGUAAAAUAAAAAAUAAGAAUAAACAACAAUAGUAGUUCAUUUUUUUUUGUUAUUGAUGCUACUAAUAAUUGAUUAAUCAAUUUCUCUAUUUUGUUGUUAUAUAUUUGAAAAGUUCAUUUUCUUAAAUGACAUUGACUUCAACAUUUGGACAAAAAAUCUUGUAUUCCAUAUAUUUUUUUUAUAAAAUAUUGACAUACAAAAUUAAGAAAUAAACAAAUUUUGACUAAUCUAGUCUACUUAUUUAAACAAUGUUUAAAAAAAAAGGAAGAAUUUAAAAUAAAAUGAUAGGGAAAAAAGAAAAAUAAUAAUGCUUAAAAUAAAAGGGAUAGAUUUGCCCAAACAUAUUAUUCAAGGAGGCAAAAUGCCUAUUAUUAUAGUUUAUGGGUAAAACAAUUGGGUAUUUAGUUUGUUUUUUUGGAGUUUUUUAUUUAACCCUAAUAAUAAUUCAAGAGAUGCAAGGAGAACGAUCUGGAAUUAAAAGCAAAACACGUGUCAUCUCCUGUUUGGUCCGAUAGCCGAGCACCACUAUAUAUAUAUGCCUUAGGCCGAGGUUCUGAAUUCUAGUCUGCUCCCUCCCUUUCUAUCUUUGGAUCCAUCUCAAUUGUAUACAAAUCGCCUGAAGGUGAAUGAAAUUCUCUUCUUAUUUUAUUUAAUUUUAGCUCUUCUUCUUCUUCAUUUAUUUUUAUUAGCUUUCUGCUUCGUUUUGGACAUAGUUAUGGCAAUGAUCGUGUGAUUGAACUUUCUUUUAAUAGCUACGGAAUUGAGCUGUUUGCAUGCUUAAUUUGGUUCAGUUCUUCUUCUUCUUCUGCUCUCUCUCUGUCUCUCUCUCUUUCCGGUUUAUUCGUGAAUGCAUGGUAUCCUGUUAUUUGUGAACUGUUGUUAUUCUAUCUCUCGAUUUAUAUGUACCCGGUCAUCUUCAAUAUCUUGCAGUUCCUUGGAUAAUAACUGUGUGUAUGUCUCAAGUCAUAAUUUCUGUCAAUUUAGUUGGAAGAAACUGAGUAGUGGAAAUCAGGAGUUUUGAUGAUUUCUUCAUUUUGGGGAGCCUUAAUUGAUCUUUUUUUUUUUUGCGUUUUUUCGAUCGCUGCAGGAGCGUAAUGUCGGGUAUAUUUGCGGAGGGAGAGACCCUUUUGAUGACCCCUUCUUUACUCGCCCUUUAGGUGGCUUAUUUGGGUCCAAAAUGUCUGCUUCGGCUGCUCCUUCUGGUGAUCCAGUGCACAGCAAUAGGUUGAAGGCACCGAUUAUUGAGGAGCUAGAUAUUGAGGAUGAUAAUAUAUCUGGAGGAGAGGAGGAUCCCAGGGACUGCAUCUGCCUAAUCAAAAUCCAUUUUGUUGAGCACCCUGCAGGACCAAAUUGAUGGUAAAGUUAAAGCCCCUUCACCCAAUGAUCUGAAUUAGUUUAACGGAUAUUAUUUGUCUGUAAUCAUUUCGAUUUGUUGCUAUGAUUACUGUGGAGGUGUUGCAGAUCAUCAUAAGAGCAAAACUAAUAGCAAGAAUAAAGAACUAGUAUAUAGGUCGAUCGUAAUAAGUGGGGGAGGAGAACGACCCCAAAAAGGAAGUGUCAGCUUCCAGAAAGUCACUUAUGGAGGCAUAAAUGGGCUUACUACACUGCUUCAACAACCCGAAGAACAGGAAAUGAUGGAGUAAGUAAACUGCCCCUAUGCCUUCUCAUUUCUACACUUCUUCUUCAUCAGAACUUUUGGCAGUUGAGAUUUGUCUGGGUUCUGUAGAAGAUCUCAUAUUAAGGGUUCAUUUGGCAAUCAGGUGGUGUUGGAAGACAGAAAAAGAAGCUGAUAGUACUACUGGUCAAGCAACCCAAUCGUAUCUCUAAAGGGAUCCAUGACAAGGUAAUGUUUAUUUUGAUGUUCCGACUGAUAGCUUGCAGUUCUUGAAGGAAGAUAAGUUUUUGGUCUCGUGGAUUACUUAUUGUAUUACUUGUCAGAGAGCCGGUUAAAUAAUAGGGUUAUAGGUAAUAAUGAAGCAAUAGUUCUGGAAUUGAUCAUGAAGACUAUGACGACAAUCCAUGUCACAUACAGAUCAUAUCUUUUGAGCGUUUUUUAUAUUUGUUGAUGCUCAGUGGCUGCAUCAAGUGGCUUGUUUAUGACUCUAAGGAAAGUAAUUGAAUAGCACUAUAGCUUCUUUCAUGGUACAGGAUGAGUCUUAAGUGUUGUUUUUACUAUUUUGACUUGCUUUUGUUUCUGCGAUUUCAUUACUUGUUAAGUUAGUCAGAUAUCUGUUGUUGUUCUCGACUAGUAGAUACAUAUAUGAUGCUUACAAAUAUGACAAUGGCAGGUUAAGAGUUAUCUGCUUCUAGGUUGAUUUCAUAGUUCAUUUUUCUUAUAAACUGUACAAUAUGUGACUGAGAAUUAGUGUGGAAAUUGAAGUGUUUUGUCACACUUUUUUAGGGUCACUCAGUGACAAGGCAGCUUAAUGCUGAUGGUGAGGUGGACACAAUGCAAACUUUGCAUAAUUUAGAUGAAGGUUUGUUUUCCUGUAUAUGUUUGCUCUUCAUGUCUAUACUUCAUCAUGCUUGUUGGUUGAGGAUCUGUACGCUUCCAAUCCCUCUCAGAUGAAUUAGCGGGUUUCGAUCAAAGUUGGAGAGGUAGUGCUGAUAUGCAUUUACCAGGAUGGGAUAUGCCAUUGGACUUUCAUUCAAAGCCUGGUGAGUGAUGCACAUUAUUUGACCUGUUCAGGGCAAGGACUAUUCCCAUGUAUUGUCUCUUUUGCUGCAUAUAAUCAGUUAAAAGGAGAAAACUAUAGAUGCAUCACUAUGUCUGGGUGAAAGAUUUGUAACACCGUGUGAGUGCUGUUUUUUUGUUGCUGUGCAUGCUCGAAUCAUGCAGGUAUUGGUGGCAGCCGGCUUACCUCCUGGAGUGGCUGGGGUCAACCAAUUUGGCAGCAGCUCGGUAGAGAUGCUAGUUUGAGACCUGGUGCUCAAGCUGAUUCAGCUAGAGGAAGACCUAAAAAGACAGUUUCAAUUCCAAUAGAGUAGAUGUGUUGAUAAUUGGAUUUGAGAAUUUUGAGUAGUUGGACGGCAAGACGUGGUGCCAAUGGGAUCAUGCCUUCUCUAUUGGCCUGUAAGAGUUAUAAAAGCUGAGCCAACCCAUGCAACGUUUUCUGAAUUACAGCCCGUAAGUUAUUUGCUUUGAAGAGUGGGGUUCUGAUGCCCAACUGAUUGCUUGAAUAAUCUUGUUUGCUUUGAGCUAUAGUAGCAGAUCAAGUGGGAAGUUGGUUUGUUUUUUGGUCUGUGGUCUAUGUAAAUAGGCAGUGUAUUGUCGAUGCUUCUUUCACUGAACGUCAAUUUUAUCAUACUCUGGCAUGAAAUAUCAGGGUUUCCUCAAGUACGGCUAUUUAGUACUUGCGCCCUAAUUAGUAUUAGUCAAGACUCGAGAGAGAGGUUUGGCUAUUAUGGUAAUUGCCGAUUGGAAAAGUGAAGGCAAAACACGGUAACGUUCAUUCUGGCAAUUCUUUCCAUAUAAUUUGAUAGAAUGCCUAUAAAAAGAGCCCAAAGGGCCUAAAGAUCGAUGCGGGUGGCCAUUGUUGCUCAACUCUUAUUUCUUUUCCUUUUCUUUUUACAAAGUACAAAUUAUAAACAACAGAUUCAAGUGUGAAGAAAAAAAAAACUACUGCCAUCCAUUCGAAAGGGUUGGCGAAAGCAAACAGGAGGAUUCAAGAAACCUCGAAUCGAACUCUGAACUAGGAUUGGAACUAAUUGAAGAUGCUGUGCCCACGACAACACGAUCAAGCAAACCAGAGAAGCGAGAAGCACAUAAUGGCCAUGCAGUCUGCAGCACAUCUGGAGAGAGGGAAGUAGAUGCUUAGACUGGCUAGCCAAAGAAGCAGCUCAACACCGAGCACUCCAGGGUCCAAUGGAUGCACCAUCACUUAAGAGCUGUUAAUCGAACCGGGUAACUCACGAGUCGAGCUCGAUUUGGCUCGCACUCGACUUGGCUCGUAUUUCUCAGUAAACGAGUCGGGUUUGAGUUCUACCUGUACUCGUUUAUGAAUCGAGACAAGUCGAACUCGCUCAGGAACUAUUCGAUAGGCUAGCAAUACAAGGGAAGUAGUGAUUGCUGUCCUAAUUUUUCUUUUCUCUUCCCUUUUCCAUAGCUCGCUAAAGCUUGUUAAACUUGGCUCGUUAAACUCGGCUCGAUUUUCAAACUCAAGUUCGAGCUUGAAGCUGAGUUUGGCAGCAGUCGAUUUCAAAUGGCUUUUGAAAUUCGAAUUACUAAUCGAGCAAGUUCGAGUUAAUUUGAUAAAUGUUUGAGUCGAGUGCUCACUCAAUAGAUGUUUGAGUCGAGUUCGAUCAGCAGGUGUUCGAGCUCGCCUCAUCUCGAUUAACAGCUUCCACCAGUAGCUUUUAGAUAGCUUUUAGCCCCUUCUCUGUAUCCAAAAAAAAAAAAAAAAAACCACUCAUUCUUGGGAAAAGGUCUUACUGUUCACAUUUUAAAACUAACGGACAAAAAUGUAUAGCAUGUUCGGAUUGAAUUGUAAGUAAGAAAUUCAAAACUUCUUAGAAAAAUAAAAUUAAGAAAAAGGGUGUUGCCUUGAUAACGCUAUGUAACUUUGCACAUGAGCUCGUAUUCAAUAUUACAUCUGCAUACAAACAAAAGAAAAUUAUAUAUAUACUACAUCUCCAUCAUAAAAAUGAAAAAAUAAUUUACCAUAAGUAUGUGUUCAUGAGGUGUUGCACCAUCGCAGUGCACCCCCUUCAUCAUAGGUUGUGGGCUGACACUUCAUAUUCAGCUAACUUCGUGCAUUGAAUUUUCACGUACGUUAAAUGCCUUCCUUGGAAGGGGGUGAAGUAUUUUCAGUUUGGUUUGUUGAACUGAAAAAAAUAAUACAUAAAUAACCUUUAAAUUAAUCAAUGUCUUUAUAUAAAUACCAUGUUGAAAGUAAAUCCCUUUUUUUUCCCAAAAACUUAUUGUUUAUUUUCUAAUACAAAUUUAUUACUGUUUAUAUCCUUUCUUAUUUUACUACAUGAUUUAACUAGACCAAUAAAAAUACUUCUCACGUUUGAUUGUUUUAAAAUAAUUCUUGUAGGAAAGGAGUUCUCUUCAAAUUUCAAUUACCAUUUGUGAGAUAAGAAUGGUGAUUAAAGUGAGCUUUUUCUUUGUAAUCCAAGCAAGGUGUUUAUUUACAUAUUGUGAUACCUACUGGAUAUGUUAGCACACUUAAAUUAUAUAUUUAAUUUUUUAUGUACACACACACACACACAUAUAUAUAUAUAUAUAUAUAUAUAUUCAUAUUUUUAUAUUCUUGUAUUUAUAUAUUUUUCAAAUGAACUUCACUUUUGUGAAAAAAUUAACACAAGAUAUUUCUUGUUAAGGAGUUCCACACUAGGCACUCCAUAGUCAAGCCCAUUAAUAAUAAUAAUAAUAAUGAAAAAGAAGGGUAACACACAGGUUUGCCUCAAGAGUUGCCGACCUUUGGGGUUAAAUAUAGGAUUAGGUUUAAUUAACUAACUUCAAAAGUUUUGAAAAAAAAAAUUUCGGUCCAAAUCCAAGAAACAAAUUGUUCUCUCCGAAUCAAUAAAUGGCAUGGAGUUUCAUAAAAUUUGCCACUUAACACAUAAAUGAAGUCCUUUUUAACUCUUGGCAUCAUCUGACACUAACGGUUCAUUGAGUAAAAUUAAUCCUUCAACGGUGAUAGUGAGUGACAGUGUCGAUAUGUAGACGACCAAUGCUUCCGGAACCACUCGGCCACACAUUUAUAGUAUAAUUGAGGAGGUGAUUUUUAGUUGGUAACUAGACCGACCUGGAUCAGUCCUCUCUGAGAUGAAGUGAGGUGAACUCCUGUGUUCGAAGUGAACCUCCUCGUCCGAAGUGUGUGGCGGGGCUUCUCCCCUGAUAUCACUCCGACGAUCAAGUUAGUAUGAGAACCAGAAUAAUGAGAAUGAGUUAAUGAACAGUGUAUGCUUACUUGUUGGGAGUGUGUCUGGGGUAUUUAUAGAAGAGAGGUGGUCAAGACGGAAGGCUCAUGCUAGCGGGACCCACUCUCUGGCAUUACGGCUCUGUCUCCUGUCAGGAGGUCUGACUCUGACACUGUAGCCGCCUGGGAGUGAUGACGGAGGAUAUGGUGCAGGUGCCAUUAAGUGCCUCCAGUGCUUUUCAGAUAAAGUGCUGGUCCUGGAUGAUGUCAGGUGGGUUGACAUCAUCAGCGUGCAGCUGAGGCGGGGGUGCCGAGGUCGGCUACACAGUAUGCUAUGGAAACGGCCGAGCCCGAGCUCAGGGAUGAUGUCCGGGACACGGAUGAACUCCGAUGAGGGACGAGGUGAGUCCACCUCGGCCACUCGGGAUGGCCGAGGUGAGCAUCCUCAAUAAGCCCCCCAAGCCUCGGAUGCUCCGAGCAAGGGAGGUGCCGAGGCUUCCUAGUGCUGAAGUCAUGAAGAGUCGAGGCUCCGAAACCGCUCCGGAAGAUGCGGGGACUCGACACGUGGACGAGUCAGUUGAUAGGACGUGGUCACUGAUAACCGUCGCGUCGUGAAGUAGUGGGACGUUUCGUGCAGAAGGUGUCAGUCGAAAGGACGGGGCAUUAAUGAGGAGAGAGGGAGGCGUGACGUUUUGAAUUCGAUCGUGAUCGUCUUUUCGUAUUCUUGCCGCCUCUUCGGAUUCUGGCUCUCCUCUAUAAAUAGGUGGUCCCUUUCACCGCAUGGCCCAUCACUUUCUUUCUUCGCUUGUGACUUGCAAAAUUUGUGAGCGUAGCCGAGAUCAAUCCUGCCAGCCGAGAUCACAGCCGAAGUCGUCCACUUCGUCCAGUUCGGUAUACAAUAGUAAGUAUCCCUUUUUCUUCUUGUCUUGUCUUUCACAUAUGGCCAAAACGGCUAAAACCCACAAAGAAACCGUGACCCCGAGCUACCAGACCGAGGUGAGGGCGGAUUCUGAGGAAGAAGCGACGACGUCCAGUUCGGAGGGGUCGGCACAGGUUCCGAGGAAGGAUCGACCGAAGUGAGAGUCGGCGAGGCAGGCUCGGGAUUGGAAUCGUCCGAGAUGAGCGAGGGUGGUUCCGAGGUCGAGUACAAUACCGAGCUCGGGACCGAGAUACCCCAUGACGAGGGCGUGCCGGAGCCAGUUGCUCCAGUGGACGUAGCCAACAUCAAUUUCGGCCAGAUGCCGAAGUUUAGGAGUCGAGUGGGAAGGGAUAGGGCCGAGAAGGUGGUAGACAAGUACCCCUUCCGGCCGUGGUAUGAAGUUUUGCCGCCCGAGGUGGAUGACACAGCCGCGGAACCCCCCUUUGGCAUGGUGGCCGUCUACAUUCAACAGCUGGAGGCCGGGCUGAGGAUGCCGACGUCGAGGUUCCUCCGGGACUUACUUCGUCACUUCCAGGUGAGAAUCACCCAGCUCACCCCGAAUGCGAUCCGCAUCAUUGUGGGGUUUGAGAUGCUGUGCCGACAUCAGGAGGUGACUCCCUCCGUCGAUCUCUUCCGCCGAUGCUACACCCUCAAGGCGCACGCGACUGAUAAGGGAUGGUUUUAUGUUGGCAACCGGAACAAUGCCAUCCCGAAGUUGGUGAUCGGUGCUCCCAGCUCGAUCAAGAACUGGAAGCGCGACUACUUCUUCGUGCCCGGAGUGGACUUUCCGAGGGGUUUUUGGUGGAGGCCAAUUAAGGCGAAGGCCGACCCCUCAGCGGGGGAUGCCGAAGAGGAGUCCUUCCAGAAGCUGAUGAAGUCGGGACUUCGGCUAUUCAGCCAUGACUACCCCGAAGCCGUGCUCGUGGAUGGGGGAUAAGUCGAGCCGUGAUCAAUACUACCAAAGCUCCCUUCUUUUCCACUGAACUUGAGAAGCCUUGUAAUUUUCUUUCAUGACUUUUCUUUUCACUUCGGCUAAGGCAUAUGAUAAUAUUUAUUUCUUGUGCAGUGACUAAACUGUCGACCUCGUCGUCUCCGGCUCGUCCGAAGUGGCCAAGAGGCAGAAGAGGAAGAGCACUGACGAGACUCGGCACCUCCGCCAAAGAAGAAGAAGUCACAAGGACCAGCCGCUAAGACUCGGCGCCAAAGGCACUCCACCAAGGCUGGCCAGAGCAGCUCGGCCACUGCGGCUACUGGGUCCACCUCGUCUGUACCAGAGGGAGUUCCCCUUGGAGUUGUUAAAAGUCACACCUCCUUCUGGCCGAGGCAAGCAGCUGAAGCCUCGGUUAAUCCGGUGUCGGGGACCUCGCUAUGGAAUCGUUUCCAUAGCCCCCAGUGUUUCCGGAGACGAGAAGACGCACUCCGGCAAUCAUUGGUGUCCGAACUGGAAGAUUUCGGUCAACGACAGGUGCCAACACCCUCGGGUCGCUCAAGAGCUAAUAAUGCACUCCAUUCUGCCAAGGGAUUUGGAGUUCAUGAAGAAGCUGAGCCCGGCCGAGCUGGUUCAAAGUCUGAUGGUGACCACGGCUUCCACCUCAGCCUUCGCGGCCGAGAUGGCACACCGAUAUUGUGCUCUGGUCGAUGAGCAGGACACCGGCAAGCUACAGAAUCAGAUCUCCAAGUUGGAGAAACAACUGGCGGUGUCCGAGUCUGAGAAGGCCGAGCUUGAAAGGCGGCUUAAGGAGGCCGAGGUGAAGGAUGAGGAGGCCGUGGCUACUGUCAACAGUCUCAGAUCGGCUCUCGAAGAAGAGCAGAAGAGGGGGGACGAGGCGAAGAAGUCCCACAGCAAGCCCUUGACAGUGCUAGAACCUCGGCGUGGACGUUUCGGAGGUCUGAGGCCUUCACCAGGGAUCUCGGCCAACUACUCACGCCGAACUUCAUGUUUGGCUUCACAUCAGCCAUAGAUGAGGCUGCAGCUCAUCUCCUCCGAAGCCUUGGAGUCCUGAAAAAUCAUGCCAGUUACAACGAGGACUCCAAGGAGUUGUGCGACCGGAUGGCGAGGGCCUCCAGGCUGGAAGGAACCUGCCGAGGUCCAGGCCGAGUUCAACAAAUGGCUGUCCGAAAUCGACGAGUGUUCGAGGGGUUGAAGAGGAAGAAACUGGAGAGGAUGCCGGGGGAGACGAAGCCGGAGAGGGAAGUCGGGACAUCGGCAAAGAGCCUGGAGAUGAACACCCCGGCGGAAAGGAGGCCGAAGAGAUGGCUGCCCAGGAGGGAGCCAAGACCGGGGAUGCAGCCGAUACGGGGGUUUAGGCUUGUAGGCUUCAAGGGGGUGGCCGAGGUGAAGUGUUUAGUAGCACUCCGACCUCGGCCUUGUAUUUUUGUAAUACUUCUAUUGAAUGAAAGUCUGUUUCUUUUCAUCUCAGCUCUUUAAUUCUUGUUUCUUGCUUUGACUUCAUCCCUUGUUUGUCCCCCUUAUUUUUUAAUAAAGAUGCUGGGCAUCAUAUGUUGAAAAAUAACUAAAUGCUGAAGUCAUAACUUGACAAGAUAAUUGGAUGAAAUAACUGAAUGAAGUCACAACUUCAAGCAUAAUACAACCUAAGGUUCUCGGCGUGCCAAGACCUCGGCACUAAUGAGCCAUCUCGGUAACUCAGUUUACAAUACCCUUAGGGUCAGAUUCCACAACUCGGUAGGGCCUUCCCAUUUGGGCACAGUUUUCCUUGAGGCUCAGCUCGGCUGACUGAGUUUUUCUGAGAACCAAGUCUCCAGGGCGGAAUCUACGAUGUCUGACCGGGCAUUGUAAUAGUGUGCCAGUGUGUUCUUAUAAGAAGCUAUCCGGGCUGAGGCGAGGUCCCUUCGUUCUUCGACGAGGUCGAGGUCCAGCAGCCUCUCUUCGUCGUUCACCUCGGCGGCAUAGGCUGCCAGCCGAGGGCUGGGGGAUCUCAGCCGGGAUGACAGCUCGGCUCCGUAGGUCAGGGAGAAUGGGGUCUCUUGAGUCGCUGACCUCGGCGUGGUCCGAUAUGACCACAAGACACUGGGGAGUUCCUCCACCCAAGAUGACCCAGCUCGGUGUAGUCGGGUCUUGAGGCCAUGCAGGAGAGUCCGGUUGAAGUUUUCUGCUUGACCAUUGGCCUGGGGGUGGCCUACCGAAGUGAAGUGUUGUUUGAUGCCGAGGUUCUCGCACCAGGUCUUGAAUGGUUCUCGGCAAAUUGUCUCCCAUUGUCCGAGAUGAUGAUCUGAGGUAUGCCGAAGCGGCAGACAAUGCAUUUCCAAAAGAAUUUCUGAAUGGCCAGCCCCGAGAUGGUGCGAAGUGGCUCGGCCUCGACCCACUUAGUGAAGUAGUCCACAGCGUCACCAGGAAGGUAUAGCCCCCGACCGCUUUAGGGAAAGGACCUAUGAUAUCUGUCCCCCAUUGCUCGAAUGGCCAAGGUGAAGUGAUGGGGACCAUGAAAUUUGAGGGCUGGUGAUGCUCGGGUGCGUGGACUUGGCAGGAAGGACAGCCGAGAACGAGGUCCUGGGCGUCUUGCCGAAGUGAUGGCCAGAAGUAUCCAAGGAGCAUAGUCUUCUUGGCUAACAUCCUGUGGCCGACAUGAGCUCCGCACAGGCCUUCGUGGAUCUCGUGGAGGAUAUGACGUCCGGCCUCGGGAGUGACACACCUCAGCCAGGGGCCGAGGUAAGAGCGUUUGUACAAUUCUCCAUCGCGGAGAGCGUGUCGAGCAGCCUUGCGUUGUAUCUUCCUCGCCUCGGCUCGGUCUUCGGGAAGGGUUCCCUGACUCAGGAAGAGGAUGAUCGGGGUCAUCCAAUUAUCUUCGGAGUGGACGGGGCAGGCCACCUCUUCCACAUAUCCUGGUUCAUUCAGAACUUCCACUAAGACCGUCUUGUUGAGGUCCGAGAAUGAAGUGGAGGCCAGCCGGGAUAGGGCGUCGGCUCGCUUAUUCUGGGACCGGGGGAUUCUUUGGAUUUCGAAUGACUUGAAGUAUGCGGUGAGUUGGUGAACUUUGGAGAGGUACCUUUGCAUGGUCUCAUCCUUAGCCUCGUAUUCACCAAGAACUUGGCGCACAACAAGUUGGGAGUCACUGCGGACGUGGACUUGCUGGGCGCCGAGCCUUCGGGCCAACUGGAGUCCAGCAAUUAAGGCCUCGUACUCGGCUUCAUUAUUGGUGGCUGGGAAGCCAAAGCGGAGGGCGUAGGAGCACACCUCUCCCUGAGGUCCUUCCAGGAGAAGUCCGGCUCCGCUGCCUUCUCCGUUGGAGGAUCCAUCGACAUACAAUGUCCACUGGGGUGAGGAGGACACCUCGGCUAAGGCUGAGGUGGACUCCGGACCUUCCGUGAAGGUGAGCUCGGCAAGGAAGUCAGCCAAAGCUUGAGCUUUUAUGGCGGUGCGUGGCUCGUAGGACAAGUCAUAUUCUCCCAAUUCGACAGCCCACUUGGUGAGGCGACCAGAAGCUUCGGGUCGCACCAAUAUUUGCCGAACGGGCUGGUCAGUCCUGACCGAGAUAGGAUGGGCUAAGAAAUAGGGCUUCAACCGCCGAGCGGCAUGGACUAGUCCCAGCACCAGUUUCUCCACCUGAGUGUAUCGAGUCUCCGGCCCGCGAAGAGCGCGGCUGACGUAGUAGAUCGGCACUUGGGUGCCCUCAUCUCGGAUGAGCACAGCGCUGACAGCCUCGUCGGCUGCAGAGAGGUAGAGGUAGAGCUUCUCCUCGGGCCGAGGUGAAGCGAGAGUGGGCAGGUGGUGCAAGUACUGCUUCAGCUGGUCGAAGGCAGACUGACACUCCUCAGUCCAGGCGAACUGAUCAGACUUCUUCAGCACUUUAAAGAAGGGCAGGGCCUUCUCAGCAGAUUGAGACAAAAAGCGGUUCAGUGCGGCCAGGCGUCCAUUCAGUCUUUGGACUUCUCGGAGGUUCCGAGGUGGGGACAUAUCUUGGAUGGCCUUGACUUUGUCGGGGUUGGCCUCGAUCCCCCGAUGGGAAACCAGAUACCCCAAGAAUUUUCCCGAGGUGACGCCGAAGACGCACUUCUUGGGAUUCAGCUUCAUCCUCGAGUCUCGCAGGACCCCGAAGACUUCCCUCAAGUCUAACAGGAAGGAUGAAGUGGCGAGACUUUUGACGAGGAUGUCAUCCACGUAAGCCUCCACAUUACGGCCGAUCUGAUUCUUGAAGAGCCGGUUGAUCAGCCUUUGGUAGGUCGCCCCGGCGUUCUUCAGCCCAAACGGCAUGGUGGUGUAGCAAUAAACACCUCGAUCGGUGUAGAACGCCGUCUUCUCUUGGUCCUCUUCACUCAUUCCUAUUUGAUGAUACCCUUUGAAGGCAUCUAGGAAGCACAGGAUCUCGUACCCCAUCGCCGAGUCGACGAGGGUGUCUAUCCUCGGGAGGGGAUAGCAGUCUUUGGGACAGGCCUUGUUGAGGUCGGUGUAGUCUACACACAUUCUCCAUCCGCCGGUGUCCUUUCUGACCAUGACUGGGUUGGACAACCAAGUCGGAUAUUGGACUUCGUGGAUCAUCUUGGCCGGCAAGAGCUUGUCGACCUCGUCCGAUAUGGCCUUGCUGCGUUCGGGGCCGAAGUGUCUUCGCUUCUGCCGCACAGGUCGGGCCUGUGGGUUAACGUUAAGUUGGUGAGUCAUAAGCUCGGGUGGCACUCCGACCACUUCAUCUGCGGACCACGCAAAGAUGUCUCGGUGGUCCUUGAUCAGGGAGAUCACUUCUUCUUUCAGGGGUGAAGGGAGUCCGGCCCCUACUUGGACCACUCGGUCAGGCUUGGCUUCAUCCAAGACCACUUGUUCCACUUCAUCCCCUGGCUCAAGCCUGCUGGGCUCUCCUGCCUUGUGAGGGUCGAUGCAGUCUAUGGAGAGGACAGCCGGCCUCUUUUCUUCUGACCUCGGCGGGGGCUGAGGUCCGACUGCGGCUUGGAUGGUGGCGAGGUAGCAUUCUCGGGCGGCGCCCACGUCACUGCUCACCUCAGCCACCCCCUCUGGUGUUGGAAAUUUGAAGCUUAGGUGGUAGGUAGAAUAUACGGCUCUCAAGGCAUUGAGCGUGGGCCGGCCUAUCAGCAUGUUGUAAGGAGAGUCCGCUUUGACCACCGCAAAGCUGACAGGCACAGUUCGGCAACGGGGAUGACGCCCGAUAGUCACCAUUAAAUUCACCAUGCCUUCCGGGUGGACGACGUGUCCCCCGAAGCCGACAAGGGGAGUUCUGACCGGAGUGAGUUGUUCCCGGUUAGCUUCAAACUCUCGAAAGUUCGGUAGUACAGGACGUCUACCGAGCUUCCGGGGUCAACGUAGACCUUCUUGACUAUAUAAUUGUUUGUGAGGACCUCAAUCACGAGGGCCUCGUGAUUGCUGGAGGCAGCGGGGACAGGGUCGCGGGGACCAUAAGUUAUGACCUCGGACAGCCUCGAGCUCGGCUCGGCCACAUCCAUGCCGGCUUGGCGGUAGGUCCGCUUUCGGGAGCUCUGGCUGUCUCCUCCCGUGGGACCACCUGAGAUGGUGUUGAUCACCCCGGCAAUGUUUGGACCAUAGCCUGGUGACCCGUCGCGUGGAGGCCUUUGGUCCCCUUUCUGGUCCUCAGGACCUCGGCAGUUGAACUUGGUGUCCCGCCUGUCUUCUCGGCGAGGACCUCGGCUCUCCCGGUGGGAGGCACUUCGUCCGAAGCUUCCAUCUUUGCGGACAAAUUGUUUCAAGUGUCCUUGCCGAAUUAGAUUUUCGAUCUCUCGUUUCAGAUCGUUGCAGUCUUCGGUCUCGUGCCCAACAUCUCGAUGGUAGGCACAGUAGAGGCUGGAGUUCCUCCUAUCUCUUCUUCCAGGGAUCUCAGGAGGUGUUCGGCCGAGGUGGUUCUGCCUCAUCACAGCCAAGACAUGAGAUCGGCUGGAAUUGAGCGGUGUUAGCUCAGCGUCCGAGGUGGAAGAUCUUCCUUUCACGAUCCGGUCAAAGACACUCCGGCGGUCCCGUGGUGGGUUUGAAGUGCCACUUGGGCCGGGUUCACCUCGGCCGAUGUCUUUCCUUCUCCGGGCAUCUUGUCCCGUACGAGAGGCUUGGGCUUCUCGCUUCAUGCGAUUCACAUCUUCACUUCGGAUUCCCUGGUCCACUCUUUCCCAGAGUUCGUGAAGUGUACGAGGGUAAUCCCGAUGGAUUUCGGUGUUGAAGAGUCCGGCCACCAACCCGUUGGUAAAGGCCGCGAGAGUUACCUGCUCGUUCUGAUCAGGUAUUUGCACAUUCUCCUCGUUGAACCUCUGAGCAUACGAGCGAAGAGACUCGCCCUGACCCUGUUGAAGGUUCAAGAGAUAAGCUGAAGUCUUCGUGAUUGGUCGAGACGACACGAAGCGGUGGAUGAACCGGUCUAUCAGCUCAUCCAGGGAGGAAAUGCUCCCUGGUUCCAAACUCCAGAACCACUUCCGGGCAGUCCCAUGUAGAAAAUGGGGAAAGCCGACAAAUCAGGCGGUCGGGGACGCAGUAGAGUCGGAAUGCGGAGAUGAAGGGCGGAGGUGAUCCUCGGGGUCACCUCGGCCGUCAUAGGUGUGCAAGUUUGGAAGCUUGAAGUUCGGGGGCACCCUUUCCCCAUUGAUGUCAUCUGUGAAGGGCGGAGCCCUCAUGUAGUCGAAGCCAGACCCCCGGGGCGCCGAGGUGGGUCCUCAACUCGCUUUCCUAGCAGUCCCGGGAAAACGCCCGGGAGAUGGAAGUUAGCUUAGAAGUCGCCUUGGAGGAGGCGCGCCUGGAGGUACUCCGUGAGAGACGGCCUCAUCGGAGUCUUCACCUGAAGGUGCCUCAGGGGACUUCGUCGGCCUCCUCUUGGAAGACUCGGCCUUUUCUUUCCCCUGUCUUUUGAGGUACCUUCCUAGCUCCUCAAAAAUGGUUGGGUUGUGUGAUACGAACUCGCCAUCUUGGCGAUGGCCUCCUCGUUGUUAGGCUGGGUCCUUGGGGACCCUUGCUCUUCAGAGAUGCGAUCUUGCUGGGCUCCGAGGUCUGCCCAGCCCAGUUGAGGGAACUCGACCACUUCUGGAGCGCGUGGAUCUCAUUUUAGCAAUAGUAGUCUCGUUCCACAGACGGCGCAAUUGAGGAGGUGAUUUUUGGUUGGUAAUAGACCGACCUGGAUCAGUCCUCUCUGAGAUGAAGUGAGGUGAACUCCUGUGUUUCGAAGUGAACCUCCUCGUCCGAAGUGUGUGGCGGGGCUUCUCCCCUGGUAUCACUCCGACGAUCAAGUUAGUAUGAGAACCAGAAUAAUGAGAAUGAGUUAAUGAACAGUGUAUGCUUACUUGUUGGGAGUGUGUCUGGGGUAUUUAUAGAAGAGAGGUGGUCAAGACGGAAGGCUCAUGCUAGCGGGACCACUCUCUGGUUACGGCUCUGUCUCCUGUCAGGAGGUCUGACUCUGACACUGUAGCCGCCUGGGAGUGAUGACGGAGGAUAUGGUGGCAGGUGCCAUUAAGUGCCUCCAGUGCUUUUCAGAUAAAGUGCUGGUCCUGGAUGAUGUCAGGUGGGUUGACAUCAUCAGCGUGCAGCUGAGGGGGGGGUGCCGAGGUCGGCUACACAGUAUGCUAUGGAAACGGCCGAGCCGAGCUCAGGGAUGAUGUCCGGGACACGGAUGAACUCCGAUGAGGGACGAGGUGAGUCCACCUCGGCCACUCGGGAUGGCCGAGGUGAGCAUCCUCAAAUACAAUAAAAGAAACCAACGUAUGGAAGUUUGAAGAAGAAAGCGGAGGCAGCAGUAGUACUGCUGCAACCGGAUAACUAAUGAUGCUGCUGCAGCUGCGUCCGCUGCGCUUCUGCUCUUCUUCUGGUACUAUAAUUCUUGCCCUGGUUUUUCUGGGGUCACAUCUUCUGGGCUGUUGAGAGAUUUUACUCGGCCGACCUCCCAGCUGACUUCGUUUUCGGUGCCGGCUCUUCUGCCUAUCAGGUCUGCCCUUCGCUUCGCCACAUUGGUACGACGUUUAUGUUACUUCAUCUGAAAGCCAAUGUCGAAAUCUGUGUCAUAUUCUUGUUACUGCCAAUAUUCUUGGCUGCCUAUGCUGAAAACUCUCCUCAACAGCGGCCAGGCCAAUUGACUUUCAUAGUCUCUUUGAUUUUGGGUUGAUUUGGCUGCUUGCAUUGUGAUUUUAAUUGUGAUUAUACUAAUGAUCUCAGGUUGAGGGUGCUGUAUUUGAAGAUGGAAGGACUCCUAGCAUUUGGGACACCUUUGCUCAUGCUGGUCUGGCUUAUCGUCACAUUUUACUAAACUAGUUGAUAGCAGUUCCUGCAUUUGCAAGAACAAUGAAAGUAGAAAGAAUAGACAUAGUCUGCACUACUCAAUGUUAUUUUACUUUUCCAACCAGGCAAAUGACAAAAAUUACUGCAUAUUAAGACUCUAUAUUGCAAUUGCGAAUGCAAAUGGCCCAUAAUUCAAGGUUUCACAGCCACAUAAAUAGUGGGACCUCUUAUUAUUUGCUUGCUUCAAAUCAGAAUAACUGUGGUUAUACUUAAGAAUUGUGUACUUCUUGCUGAGCACUGGCAAAAUGUGAAGAAAUAUGUGAUAUGUAUGCUUUUGUCUAAUCUGAACAACAAAGUUUACCAGGGACUUGAGACCAUAUAACUUGCUGUCACCUAAGAGAUAAUGGAUAAAGAACAUGGUCGAGCACAUUGCACGGUCAGGCAUGGAAUUUUUGACAGCUCUCAAGAAUGAGAGAUUCAAGUCUAAGAACGCUGGAGUAGUGGGAUCAAUAUCAUGUUUCAGAUCCAUAAGAUUAUUAGUUACUGUAGUUAUUGAUCCCAUUCUAACCAAAUAAAUUAAAGCCUGAAUUGCUAUCCUUAGGGCCGUAAUUCCAACAUGAGUGAAGAAGUUCUGAAUAUCUUCCUGAACAACACCAUCACUGAUAUGGAAGCCAAAUUGGAAAUCCUUUACCUGAACGAAUAAUUUUUCAACUCUGUUUCUGAGGGCAUGGAUUUGUUUGAUUUGGUAAUCAACUUGCGUCCGCGCCUGAGCCUGAGCCUGAGCCUGCACCUGUGCACAGGUAUGCGACAGAAUCCUUGGAAUAAAUCGCAAGAAGUAUAUCCAAAUAGAAUAAGAAUGAAGAGCAGGAGACAGCAAUCCCAAGGUGCAGCUGCCCGAGAGAUCAUCAAGAACUUGUCCGACUGGUUCCCUGAAAAGCCCAAUUGUUCUCUCCCAUUUGCAGAGUACAUCAACCACUCCUAGACAACCGUUCAAUGUUUGAUCAGAAACAAGAACACCGCCAAAGUCGUUGGCCAAGUUAUCUGAUACAGCUUCAGUUAUGCUGACGAGAAAUCCGAAGUUACUGACAACGUUGUCUGCAUCACUGCACCGUCGAAGGUGAAUAAGAAAGGUUGCCAGCAGCCUCCAAGUUUCAAGUUGAUCAAUGAUAUGGUCGGGGUUUAAGGCAGUUGGACGGCCAAGGCCAUGUCCCCUUGCUCCAUGCCUCCAACCACGGAGCUUCUUCAUGGCAGAAUCAAGGCGCCGACAUAUGGAACUCCAACUCGAAGUGGAAGCCAUCAAUCUCCACUAAACUCUCUAGCUACAACACCACAGAAAUAAUCAGGAAUUGAUACAACGGAGAAUUAGUUGAUGAUGAGGAUUAGACAAUUAAGAUUUCUCUUUCCGACAAUCUCACAACGGAACAGACACAAGGAGUAGCAUGUGUUAAAUUAAGUUGACAGUAGCCUAUGGAGAGUAUAAGGAAUUAAUAUAUGUGCUAAAUAACUUCUCCAUUAAAAUUUGAGGCAAUAAACAUGAAUGUAGAAUUUCGUCGGGUGCAAGCCUUCAUUUGGCCAAAAAUAUGUGAUAGUUGAGGGGAAUGUUGGCUUGAAUCGCAUAUGAUAAUGCCCCCAAUUAAAUCAAGGUAAAAUGGGUUCAAUGGUAUAAAUUAAAGUAAAAUUUGACUUGACAAAAAGUGCACGAGGGUGAAAUCGUACACAAAUUUUAAUCAAGGGGGCGAAUUGUAAAUAACCUUGUUGGUUUUGUUUCACGGUCCUCUCGAGUCUCGAAGCUUCAUCCCCAGUUUUCUGUUCCUAUAAAAUGGCUAAGAGCAAUCUGUUUCUCACUAUAAUCACUCUCCUGAAGAAAAAACUUCCUCUGCGCUCUGAGUAGAGGUGCCGUCGCUCCUUCUUCUAUUCUGCAUUCCGAGUCGAGUUGUUUAUUACGUUUUUGCAUUCUUCUGGCCGUACUUUGUCCUAAACUACUAUUUUCUCCAUUGGGUUCUCUUCAUUAAUCUCCAAAACGGUUAUUGUUAGAUUUUCCCCCCUUUUGAAUUCCAGUGAUUAGUUCAUGAAAAUCAGCUGCUUUUGCAGAAUUAAAUUAUGGGUUUCUUUUAUCAUGAACAGUAUCCUGUGAGGGUUAGAAACUACACCCAUUGAUGAUAUAAAAUGUUGUUUUUGGUUCCUAAUUUUGGUGGAGUUUCUAUCUUGUACGAAUACAAAAAGGAUUUACGCUUUCAAAAUGUAAAAGACUUUGCAUUUUUGAAUUUUUUUUUGCUUUCCCUGAGUAUGACGUGCAGUUCAGGCACAGAGGGAUCAAAUGCUCUACUCUAGCUUGUUUGAAAAAUGGUGGAUGUCUUUUAUUGCACACAAGUGGUUUCCAACAAACAAAAUCUAAAUCUUUUGCGUCAAUUUAUUUUGCAGAUAACAAAUUGAGAAUUGAUUUAAGUUAACAAGCGAUAGUUUGGUUAUAUGUUCAUUGGUGAGCAAUUGUUAUUUUGUGUUUAAAGAUCAGAUUUUUAUGAGUUUCUGCUUUGCUCUGUUUUCUUAAGCUUGUCAGGCGACUAGCUUUUGUUCAAUUGCCGACAAGAAUGUCAAAACUAUUCGGAGGAAAAGAUCCAUUUGAUGACCCUUUUUCUCUGAGCCAUUUGGUGGCUUCUUUGGUGGGAAGAAUCCAUUUGCUGACCCGUUUUUCGCUAGCCCUUUGGUUAUCCUCCUGCUUCGCGGAAGCAAAUUAGUAUUGAGGAAAUAAAUCCUGAUGAUGAUGAUGAUGGUGCAAACAUUUCAAAUGCUGGCAAAGAACUGAGCGUUGGGAAUCCAAAUUAUCAUGCGAAUGGUAAAACAUUAAAUUAGCAUGUCUCAGUUAUUACGCCUGUUUUGUUGUUCAAGUGUUGACUGCAUUUCCUUGUUUGUGAAAAUGGCGUGACGUACUUAAUAGGUAGUGGAAGUUCUUUUAGUUAUCGAAGGGUUGCAUAUGGUGAUCAGGAUGGAAUGUACUAUACUUGCUCUGAAGGCAGGAUGAAUGGUGGCGAUGGGUCAGUAAUACUUGACUGGAUAUGUCUAAUUUUUUUUUUUUUUGCUUUUGAUGGUCAUUGUCAUCCUUCUUAUGAUGUCUUUGGUGGUGUUGUAGGUGUUUCUUGCGGAAAUGAAGGAAGAGGAUAAGAUAGUUGGUGAAUCACUGCACACAAUUUCAAAGGGAAUCCAUGAUAAGGUAUGGUCAUUGUAGUCUUCUAUCUGCCUCUUAGAAUGAGAUGACGUGAAUCCAUUAAAUCAUAAUGGGCAAUUCCUAACAAGAGUUCAGCAACAGUUCCUGGCUAUUCUUCGAGUUCAAGUUUACCAUAACAAAUUCUUUCUUGUUAAAUGUGCAAAAAUUUCUCUAAUACUAGUGUCUGAAUGUCUAGCAAUGUACCUUUAUCUUUAGCAAUGUGUCUUUUUUAAGUGUAUGUUAUAUGCCAAUGAAUGGCAGGUGUCUUAAAUGUGUCUGCAUUAUUUAAUUCUGCUUGUGCAGGGUCAUUCGGUCACAAAAAAGAACAGUUCAGAUGGUAGAGCGGAUUCAUUGCAGACUUUACAUAACUUGCAUGAAGGUUUGUUUCCUCUCCAAGGGCUUGUUAUCUUAAACUUCUUCAUUGCCCUCAAAUUAUUUUGCUGCUUUUAAUUUUUUUUCCCUUUCAUCAGACGAGCUUAAAGGUUUUGAAGAAAAUUGGAAAAAUAAUGCUGACAAGCAUUUACCAGGAUGGAGCAGUGGGUUCAAUAAGCUUGAGAAUUCAGGUAAGUUAUUGCUUGUCUAGUUGAGUUUGUUCUGUUUGUUGUAGCUUUAACAUAUCACAAUGCAAUCAUCUUGAUUAAAGCUGGUCAUUGUCAUAUCUUGUGCUAUCAGAUGAUCUCAUAAACUUUGGUAAUUUCUAGAUAUUCAAUUAUGCACAUCGAAAUCUGGAAGUGCUUAAUUGUAAAUUUCAUUUCUUGCUUUCAUGAUAUUCUCAUCCGUUCCAUUGUUCAUUUGGUUUUUAUCUUUGAUUACUAAGUUUAUGAGAUUUCUGUAUCAUUUCAUUCACUCCUCUGUCAAUUGAGUUUACUUCUAGAGUGUUUGUCUUAGUUCAUACUUUUAUGUUGCACUUGAUUUUUUUUUCCCUCAAGCACUUGUAUGUUCCAAAGAUGUCCAUUUAUUUGGCAGAUGACGGGGACUCAUUCCAUGCUUUGAGACAAUCAAAUUUUGGGAGGUUCAUUGAUCCAGAGAUGUUCAGUGUGAUUGGUACUGUUCAUUGCAUGAAUAGGCUGAAAUUUCCUGUUUAAUGAAUGCGCAGAGCUAACUUGAUUGGAUGGGAUGGAUUUCCAACAUGGAGCGGCUGGGGUGGUUGGCUCCUCCAUCUAUAGAGUACUUUGGAGACGCUGGAGCAGCAGAACGCAGAUGGAGAAGGGAGGAGGAAAAAGGUUGUGCGAGUGAAUGUGGAGUAGGGCGUAAUGUUCUGGGAACAUUAGUUUAUUACUUUAUAUUAAUCAAUGCUUAAUGUGUGCUCUGGCUUGAAUUUGGCACCUUAAUGCUUGUUUUCAGCGUCUUCCACAUUGUGAACUUCUGGAUGUCGUCAAAUAACUAGUACAAACAUGGUUUUUGUCUGGUUGGUUGGGAUGAAUUUAGGCUCGUCUUUUCGGUAAAGGGGCAGAAUGGUGUAAUAUAUUGUGAAGAGGUUGUAACUCAUGUUAAGCUAUUUGUGUAAUUUCGUAAUAAAGAAAUAAUUAUCUUGUAUGGGGCUCAUGUGAACCAUAAAUAAAUAUUACAUUGCUAAAGUGCUGUUAUUGGCCGGUGUUGUUAGAUCCGGACCGAAACCGAACUGACCGGUUCAAUCGUGAAAUCAACUUUCUUUUUGAGUUGAUUGUCAAAAAUUAGUGAAAAUCAUCAAAAAUUGCCUAAACCCGUGGUCCGAUCGAUGGGUUGAUUUGGUUUUCAAAUUUUUCUUUCUUGUUUCUCUCAAACAUAAUUUGAAUUACUUAAAUUAUAACAUUUUCAUUUACUAAUAUGAGUAUGAAAAUGUCAUUCAUUUUGUGUAAAUAUCAAAUUAUUCACUUUUCUGAAUAAUUUUAAGGUGGUGUUUGGUAAGAGGGUUUUGGAAUGAAAAAUUGGAAUAAAUUUUAUAAUUGUUAUUUGGAUUAUUAUUAUCGAAAAAUUGACAUUUUAAAAUCAUAUCUAAAAAUUUAGAGUUUCCCAAUUCCCUAAUAAUCCAAAGGGUUUUGGAUAAAAUCCAAAUUUGAUUCCUAUCUAAUGUAUUGAAAAUUAAGGAUGACAAUUGGGGCACAGGUCUCGCGGGGCAAUUUUUUUCCUUAUCUAGAAAUAGUCCCUCUUAGCCGCCAUUAUAUAUAUGAUUACUAGCUUGGAUUUGGCCGUGCUACACGCUUGGCCUAUCCACUAAUAAUUUUCGCUGUUCAUUUUGUCCUCCAUUUUGUCCUAUGCAAAAUCCAGAUAAUUUUGUGGAUGUUGAUAAUAUAUCUGUGGAUUUGAUAUGCUAAUUGUGUUUAAAAGACAAAGAGGUAAAUAACAUUUAAAACAGUGGCAAAAGAUUAUAUAAACAAAAUCAUUCACUUUGACAGCACAUGUGCUUUAAGACUGGAUCUUCAUACAUAUUAGCACUUGCAAUUAAGUUUCAUGAUCUAUGCAGGUGUAAGAUAACAAACUAAACUAUUAUUAGCUAUCUCAUGAUCCCUUAUUUGUCAAGGACUGAAGCAGUUUCAAAGAAAGUAUCAAAGCAAUGGACCUAAUCAGCUAACAAAGAGAUUUAAUAAAAGUAACAUAAUUAAAGCAGUUUAGGCCUACUUGCCCUUAAGCUUCUUUGCUGGACUUAUCUUCAAUAUUCUCAGGCGGAUUGCUAUCUUCUGGACCUUCUUUGGUACACUGCUCAGAAAUAUUGGAUGGCUCUUUGGAUAGUGUUUCUACUGGUGUAGCUUCAUUUUCAGGUAGCCCUUUUGGAAAAUCAAGGCUACUAUUUACUCCACUGCUCCCAUAUGCAUCAUUUUUCGUGGAAAAAAUUGCCUCCAGCAAUUUCUUCAAGCACCAACUUAGUGGUUGGUGUGAACUUUUCUUCCUUUGUUUGUUGUUGUUUUUUUUUUUUUUUGAUAUAUUGGUGAGGAAGUGCGCCACUGCAGAAGAAACUUCGGUGCGAUCUGAAAAUGUUACAGUAACAGAUCAUCUGCAGUGUAAGCUUUGGACACAAUAGUUUAAUUUGUCCCUGGUCUUAAAAGUGAGUCUCAUAAGCCUUGAGAAAGUAGACAAUUAUAUAUUUCUUCAAGGAACCAUUAAGUUCAGUGUCUACUUCAAAGUGCUGCAGGAAAAAUUAUUUUUUGAGUUGUAGUCAGCUGUUGUUAACUUUUUUGUUAUGCAUGGAUAUAAAAUAGAAAGAUAUAUCACUUACACUUUCUUGUGCCAGUUUAUGCUGAAGUGAAGUGAAUAGAAUCAUUUUUUCUGCACCUUCUCAAGAUAUAGUGCAAUUGAUUGUUCCCGAAUCAUCAGUUAAUAUGAUGGGAAUUCGAGCCCUCAAAUUCAACAACAGAAAUUAACAUCAAUUUAAAUGUAGAAAGAGGAUUAAAUUGUAAUUAAAGAGCAUGAAUUGGUAACUUUACCUCAUAUCAACCUCACUUUUGUUGCUUGCAAGAAGGACAACAGAUAAUCCAAUCAAUGUUUGCAUUCACUAUUCCUGUAUUUAGCGUAUCCAAAGGCAAGUUUCCCAGUUGCUUGAAGCCAAGCUGUUUUUCUCUGAAUCAAAUAGAUAUGAAAGAUAUCUGAAGCAAAAAUCACAGUUAACAGUAAAAAAGGCAAAAUCAUAAUCGUACCUAAGUUUUUCAUCCUUUGCUCAACAUGAUGAAAGAAAGAACCAACAUCUAAAGGGUUUCUCCUUUCCCUUCUCCCUUUUGUAUACAUGGUAGGUUUUAGAAACCGUACCAUAGAUCAUUAAAAAUUGUUUUUCUAAAAGAAAACAUCACUUCGUAGCAGGAAAAAAGGAAGAAUUCGCUGGUAAAUUCAAACCAAGUACAAUCUCUAAAAGAAGCUGAAUUCUUGGGCAAAUGCAAUCACGAGCAUGUGGAGGGUUUUGGUGGUUCUAACCAAGAGAAAGUACAAUGCUUUGUUCAGAAAAUUGGUAGAACAAUGGCAUUUUUUGCAGGUUCAUAUUCGGCUAUCCGAGCGGAAGAAACGGAGAAGAAGAAACUUUUAGUGAGAGGCCUAAAACUGUCCCAUAUGUUUAGAUCAAUCGACAAACAGUAUCAAACGAUUUGCAUCGAAACAGAAAAAUAAGAAGGAAAUAUUUUCAAACAUACAAAAAUAGCCCUAAAUAGUUAGUAACUAUUCAAACAACCACCUUUCACAAAAGGACGCAACUGACUUUUAACACUUAUUAAAACACAAACAAAGUUAAAAAAUAAAUGUAUUCAAUCCAUUAUUACAAUUGACCCUUAAAUAGUAAGCUACUAUUGGAAUUCUCAAUUGUAAGAUCAAGUCCCAAAUAGACAUUUACCAUUCUUUAAGAUCCAAAUGAAUAAAAAAAGUUCCUUCCUCCAAUAAGAGCUUGACACUUGGCAUUCAAUGGACAACUCAAGUUGUUCUCUUAUCUAGUAGGUAGAUAUAUGCUAUAUAUUAUAAUUAUAAUAUUUAAUUAUAAAAAUAAAUUUUAUUAUAAUAUUAGUAUAAUUAUAUAAUAGAUUUAUAAUUAUUAUAUACACAUAUAUAUUAUCAAUAUAAUUAUAAUUAUAUAAUAUAUAUUAUACAUAUAUUAAUAUUAUACUAAUAUAUAUCUAUAAAUAUAUUAUAAUAUUAUAAAUAUAUAUUUAUAAUAUAUAUAAUAUUAUAUAAUAAUAUAUUUAUACUAUUUAUAAAUAUAUAUUAUAUGUGUAUAUAAUUAUAAUAUAUAUGUAUCUAUAAUAAUAUAAUAAUAAUUAUUAUUAUUAUAAUUAUAGUAUAUGUGUAUUUAAUAAUAUUUAUAAUUAUAUUUAAUAUCUAAUAUGUAUUUUAAUUAUAUAAUAUAUGGCAUAAUUAUUAUUAAUUUUAUAUUAUAUAUAUUAUAAUAUAUAUUAUAUUUAAUUUAAUUAGUUACAAAUUUAUAAUAAUGAUAUUAUUAGUUAUAUGUAUUACAUAAUGUAUAUAAGUAUAUAUAAUAUAAUUGAUAUUAUCAAUUAUAUUAUUAAUUAUACAUGUUUACUAACAAAAAUUGUUAAUUAGUUAUACUAAAUUUACUAAUAUAUUUAUACUAAUACAAUUAAUUAGUAGAAAUUUAUUAUAUCUCAUUUUGAAAGAGUCAAUGAACCAAACAUCAAUUACAGUAAUGAUAUACAUUUCUGUUACUGAACCAAACAGAUGUAUUGGAAUGACUGAUUCCAUUCUAAAUCCAGGAUGAAUGAUUCAAAAUCCGAAUUUGAUUCCAAAGAAUGAACCAAACACCACCUAAAUCAAGAUGUUUCAUCCCUAUUAUCUUAUCAAUCUGCAUUAGUGAUUCUAACGUGCAUUAAAUUAUUUUAAUUUAGUUUUUCAAGUAAUUUUGAAAAAUGGACAUAUUUUAGUCAUGAAUUUACAUUUUUAUAUAUAAUUAUUAAGUGUAUAUUUGAUUACAAGUCUAAUAUUUUUGUAACAUUUUGUAUGAUUGGCUGAAUAUAACCAAAAACUUAAUUUUAAUAUUUCUGAAACUUAUAAAAUAUAAAAUAAUUAUGACAUCAUGCUAAUAUCAGCCUGUUUUUUAGAACGGUCCGACCGAUCUGAUCAGUUGACGCUGAUCCAGCAGUUUAGCCGAGUGGCUAUCCGAUCCGAAUUUAACAAAAUUGGUUAUUGUUGUUCUGAGAUUGUACAAUUAGCAGCGAGUUAAAACUUGUUCAAAUGUUGUUACCUUAAUUAGAAACGGAGUACCUGCCCCUUUUCUGUUCUUUUUUCUUUCUUUGAACAGUUGUUUGUUUAUGCUUCCGUGUAUGUACAUAUCUGAUGUUUGAAAAUUACUUGUCCAUGGCUUAAAUCUUCUUAUAUAUGUCAAGUAUUUUUGUCCCAAUUCCCUAUUAGGAAGAUAAACAGCAAUUCUAUGCCGCAAAAGUACUUGGGAUAAGUUAUAGGUGUUAAAAUGGGUGAUUCGGGUAGAUUUUGGCAAAUCAUAAUUGAAUAAUGAAUAUAUUACGGUUUUUGGGGAAAAAAAUAAUUAGAUUGUGGGUAUAAUUGAGUUAACUCAUUUAUGAAUAAAUGAAUCAAUUCAUUUAUAUCCAUUUGUGAAUAAUGGGUAUGGUAUAUUUAAUUAUUUAAUUAUUUGAAAUUUUAUUUUUGCUUUUUAAAUUUUUCAUAUGUUGUGAGACAAGAAAUAAGGACAUUUUAUUGUGAUUAAAUUAGUAAGAAAUUUAAAUUUAUCCUCCUAAUACUCACUAAAAAUAAAUUGAAUUUGAAUGUGUAAUUAUUUUUAAAUGGAUAAUUGGGUGCGUCAUUCACUCCUCCUCUGUCCUUAGAAUUUGCAUCUCGAAUGCUCGAAUGCAUGCAUUAUCGGCAUUGGGUCAUGCCCAACCUACCAGCAAAAUAUGGAUGCUUCUUGCCCGCAGAAAUGGUGUAAAAGCUCGAAGCCGCAAUUGAUUUUUUAUCGAGUUUAUGCCCUGGAUAUUUGGUUGGAUACUGGAUGUUUGUCUUCAGUAAUUAUACAACAAUGGGGCUCUGUUUACUGGUUUAGAAACAACGUACGGUAGAGUAACACUGGAAGAUCAUUACGCAGCAGAACUAAGUCUGCGGGGAAAAGCUGUCUAUAUUAUUUCACUUGUAGCUCGGCUCAUCUUCCAGUGUCCUUGAAAUCUAUAGAUGACUCAUGGCAACAGAAAACUUCUGAUAACAGGCCUUAAAAAUCUACUAGACAAAUGCGAAGGCCACGAGAAUUUGAUCAAGCAAAUCCACGCUCACUGGACCACCCUUGGCUUCUGCGCUCAAACUCGAAACAUCAACACUUCGCCUGCAAGUUACUAAACGUUUAUACAAAACUAAACAAACCCCUCGAAGCCCACAGGGUGUUUGCUCUAAUUCCUGACCCAGACAUUGUCUCCUGGACUUCUCUAUUCAAUCUGUACCUGAAAACUCAACAACCCACCGAGGCGUUAUCUCUUUUCUCUCACUUGUUGGUCUCUACUUCCCUCAGACCUGAUGCGCACUCCGUCUUGGCUGCGCUGUCUGCUUGCGCGCGGACGCAAAAUUUGGAUGCUGGUAAAGCAAUGCAUGCCAUGGUGUAUAGACAAUUGUCUGAACCGGAAACAAUUGUGAGUAAUGCUCUGAUUGAUAUGUAUAGUCGGGGUGGAAGAACCCAUUUGGCUAGACGUGUGUUUGAGAGUGUGCAAUGCAGAGACGUGGCUACUUGGACUAGCUUGCUUAAGGGUUUAUUUUUUGUGGUGAUAUUGAAGCUGGACGUCAGGUUUUUGAUGAUAUGCCGCAGAGGAAUGUGGUUUCUUGGACGGCGAUGAUAGUUGGCUAUGUACGUGUGAAAAAUUCCAUUGAGGCGUUGCAGUUGUUUAGGAGAAUGAGGGAUGGAGGUAGAGAGAAUGCUACUACUAUUACUAUUGUUGCCGUGCUCUCAGGUUGUGCUGAUGUUGGAGCUCUGGAUUUUGGGAGGUCUAUUCAUGGGUAUGUUAACAAGAUAGCUGGUUUUAGCAUGGAUGUUGCUGUAAAUAAUGGAUUAAUUGAUAUGUACGCAAAAAAUGGAAACCUUGAUUCAGCUGAGAAUAUAUUCAUUAGGAUGGUAGAUAGGGAUUUGUUUUCGUGGACAAGUAUAAUUUCAGGGUUGGCAAUUCAUGGUAGAGGUAAGGAUGCACUUGAUUUUUUCGAUGAGAUGGUGGCAUCUGGGAUGCACCCCAAUGAGAUUACGUUUCUUUCUGUACUUUCAGCUUGUAACCAUGCAGGAUUGGUUGGUGAGGGACUGAACUUCUUUGAAAGAUUGAAAAAUUCUCCUAGAUUUGAACCCAUGAUGGAACAUUAUGGGUGUAUGGUAGAUCUUCUUGGUCGAGCAGGAUUGCUUGAAGAAGCUGUUGGAUUGAUUCAGGACAUGCCCUUCAAGCCAGAUGCUAUUAUGUGGAGAUCAUUUCUCAGUUCUUGUUUAGGACAUAAUAAUUCGGCUUUGGCUGAAAUGGCAGCGAAAGAGGUACUUGAACUGGAGCCUGAUGAUGAUGGUGUAUGCGUGCUCCUUUGGAACUUGUAUCGCUCUAAAAAAAUGUGGCAAGCUGCUUCAAGGAUGGAGAGGAUGAUGAAGGAUCAGAAAAUAAAGAAAAAACCUGGGUGUAGUUGGUUGAAGUAAAUGGUGUUGUUCAUGAAUUUCUUGCUGAAACUUCAUUACCUUCUGUAGCUGGUGAUGUAUACAUUGCUCUACAAGGCAUUGCUAGACAAUCAAAAAUGAAUAGUGACAUUUUCAUGCACAAGAAGGAUUGUACAGUGACAGAAUGCAUCUAGUAGAACGAAUAUUGACAUUUUUAGAUAAAAGUUUUUGAAGUGAAGCAUGGAAGUUCCUGAUUGGAGACAGUAAAAUUAGCAUUUUCAGAAUUCAAGGGGACCAAAAUGUGGGUUUUCUUGGAAUAAGCUCAGUACUGUUUCCUCCAUACCUUUAUUAGCGCCUCGCUGUACUAAAUUGGAAAACCUCAUCCUUCCACCACUGAAAUGAAGGUUCAAUUAUGGAACUUACCGUCUAUGUAUUUGUUUUAUUUUGCUUUUCUUAAUGUCUAAACUGUGUCUUGUUAGUCUGGAUAAUUAAUUAGUGCUUCUUUGGUGCCCUUGUAGUGGGUUCUGUUGGACAGGUAGUUGAUGCCUUGAUUCCUUGAUGGUCUGGAUGGUCAAUUCAUGCUUCUUUGUUGCCCUUGUGGCAUGUGUUCUGCUGGAAAGGUACUUCUUCCAGAAGUGAAGGAAGCAGAUUAUAUGGAUGGUAGUGACGUUAAUUGGUGAGUCACUGCAUACAGAUACAGUUCGGCUGGGAAUUUAGAGUUGGAUAGUCUUCACGUUGCCUCAUUGUAUCUAUUGUCCCAAGAAAAUGUUGAGUAAUAUUUCCUGGUGACCUCCUGGAUUUUUCUCAAGUUCCUUAUCUUCAGCAUAGUUUGCACGUAAAUGCUUCUGAGUCGCACAUGUGUGUAUUAAAAGCAGAAUUUACACGCAGUGUAGCAAACAUCAUUCAAAUGCUUUUCAGGCUGAUGACUAAGAACUUGGAAUUUCUUUAUUGAUGCGCUCGUCUAAUAUAUGUUAAUUUAGCUCUUUCCUAUGCUCAUUUCAUGAAUGUGACUAUGUACCCCUCUGUACCAUGACUUCAGCUGACAUUCAAGGUGCUCGACAGACGCAUCCUAUAAUAUAGUGGCGAAACAAGAAAUUCCAGUUAACGGAAAAACUACUUGGAAGAGGGAAGCAGCAAGAGUACCAAAAGUAAGGAACGACGAAUAUAGGGAAUGACGAAAUAUAGAAGAAGCAACUUGGAGUACUGGGCGUAUAACAAAAUCGGAGAUUGAACAGGAGACAGCAAAACAGAGGAAUCAACACCAUUUGUUGUUUGUGGUUUGGGGAGACGGGGUGCCGGGGUCGGUUGGUUUGUUCGGGUAAAACAAAGGAGGCAACGUGAUGGACCUUAAGUUUUCGUGCUGGUUGUUGGAGUUUGGGCGAAGAGGAAGCAUCUUUACAUCUUCCUCCAAUAUUUAGAUUGAUCAGAAUAGCUUCUGCAGAACUGAGAGUGUACUUAUGGGUGCCGCUCUUAAGAUAUGACAUUGUUUCAAGUAUUAUUUGAUUUAUUCUGAAAACAUCUUAUUUUGAACCAUCACCAGAUUCUUGAUAGUUCACGGGCUUUAUUCGUGAAGAAAAUAAGCUAGGGAAAAAAAAAAUACUCAAAUUGUAGUUUUGAAUCGCAGAAGAGCGGACACAAGCAAAUUAGUACUCAAGUGGACUGCAAUGGACGGUCCAUUUGCACAUCUGCACCUUCCUCCCCUUUAUUAUGAUAGCAUGACUAAAGGGUUAAAAACAAAAAAAUCCCUGUAAUAUACCUAAUAUAUAGGAAAGUCCCCAUGAUUUCAAAAGUAUAAAACGAUACCACAUGUUUUGAAUUAAAUUAUAAAACUGAUAGAAUCGGAUAAAUUUAAUGGAAUCCGGUAAGUUUAAUAGAAAACAUAACUGAAUCCGGUAAAUUUAAUAGCUCAAACCGUCAUUUUCAUUAAAUUUAUCGAAUUCUGUUAGUUUACAAUUUAGUUCAAAAUAUAAGAUGUCGUUUUGUAUGUUUUGAAACUACGAAAAAUUUUUCCGUGCAUUAGGUAUAACACAUAACGCUUUUUUUUGUUUUUAACCCCAUGACUAAAAUGUCAAAGAUUCUUCAACUUGUAAACAAAAGAGUAUUCACGUGGACAACCACAUAAACUAAACCAGGAUCCAAGCAUGUUGGCUUCUGCCGGAAUGAACAUGAACAUUGCAUAACUUGUCGAAGGGGAAACGGUGCCGAAAGUUCAUUCACGAUCUUUCCAUUUUGAUGGUAGUAUAAACGCUACGGUUUGCUGAAUUCAGAACAGUACAGCUAAUAUGUGAAUAUCUUUUUGUGAGAUGCAUCGAGAUCAGAAUUUUUUGUGUGUAAUAAAUGUUAAGAUUGCUCUUCCGGAAACUAAAUGUUUAGACAGCCAACAGUUUUGUACAUAUGCCUUAGAAGAGUUUAAGACUGCACGAAACCAUUAGUGAAUUUUUUUUCUAAUCCGAAAAUAACAAAGCAGCAAUCUUCUUCUUCUUUUUCUUUCUUUUACUUUUUUAAGGAAAGGGGAAAAAACCCUUUUUUGAAUGAAAUCUUGAAUGCUUGAAAACCAGUCCCCUAUAUUGGGUAGGAUAUUUUAAAAAAAUGUUAAAGGUAUUAGUUGAAAAAAGAAUAGAAUAUUUCUCAAUCUCUGCUCUCUCUCUCUUUCUCUCUCUCUCUCUUUUAGAUAGUUAAUUAUGCUUCUAUAUGUGUACAUAUUUGUUUCUUGAAACUAGUUUUCCAUGCUUAGAUGUUCUUGUACAUAUUUGUUGCGACCUAGCAAAAUCAUUAAUUAAGUGGAACUAUAGUAUUAUACAUGUAAAUGGAACGUAAAAGAAAACUUGUGAAGUUUUUCUUCUGGCUCGGACGGCAUGAUUUUUGUAAAUGCCUUUCCAAUUCCAAACAAACCUAUACCCAAAAAAAAAAAAAAAAGGUGAAGAGGUAGAAUAAAUGUUUGCAUUGAGUUUAAACAAACCUAUACCCAUACUAUAUUUUACUAGGGAAUAUUAGACAAACAAAUAAAAUAAUUCAACUUAGCCCGGGAUCUAAUCUUGCAUUGAGUUUUUAAAUCUCUUUAAAAGCUACUGCCAGUUGGCAUUGCAGAAUCUUUCUAAGUAAAACCUUCCUUAGAUGCUUGCUUCCCCAUGCAAAAAUAAUUAAUUACUCUUCACUGCUUAUUGUAGCAGGUGUAGAGGUUCAUCCCUGUCUCCUUCAUGUUCCUUCAUAUAUAUAUGUGAUCCUAGAAGCACCUCAAUUUGUAACAAAACAUUACUAAACUAAGUAGAGCUCUAGACAAAGCAAUGGCUUCUUGGUCUGCUGAACAUGCAACAAAAGCUUAUCUCCAAACCCUUAAGAUGGUAAGCCAUUUGAAGCUUUGAAUUUGUGAUGACUUGUAACUUCAUUGUCUUUGUAUACUUACUAGUGGUCUUUAACAUUUCAGGGCAAAAGGGGGAAGGAGCCUAAUGUUUCAGAGUACAUUGCAGCCCUUGCUGCAGGCAACAAUUCACAACUCAUGGUUAUGGUUUGUGCAGGCAGUGCCGGAUCCACAGCACUAGCUUUAGGUGCUGCAGCACGCGAAACCGGCGGCUGCGCAGUCUGUAUUUUACCAGGGCUCGAGGAGUUGCACGCUUCAAGAAAAGCUCUAGGAUGUUAUGCUGAAUUUAUUGGGCUUGUUGUAGGGGAUGCACGGUCUUUAUUGCUAAAUGAAUAUCAAGAUGCCGAUUUUGUGCUCGUUGAUUGCAAAAUGGAUGGGCACGAAUCAAUUUUACUAGCAGCACAAGAGUGUUUGCAUCAGAAGAAAGCAUGUCUUGUAGGUUACAACGCCAUUCAUUGUGAACCAUGGAUAGAUAGUUUGAAAGCUCAUCUGCUACCUAUUGGAGGUGGUUUAUUGGUGACUAGAUUACCAUCAUCUUCAUCAUCACCGGCUGAAAAGUUUCGUGGGGCUGGAAAGAAAGGCAAUUGGGUGGUGAAAGUUGACAAAAUCACUGGUGAGGAACACGUUUACAGAACCACCUUCCACCACUAUCAUGACCGAAUUGCGGCUUAGAUAGCUUCUUUACAGGUCAUCUUUAACGUCGACUGUAAAUAGUCCCUGGUGAUGAUCAAGCAGGAGAGAAUGACUCGGGAAAUAUAUUAGAGGAUCUCAGAGUCAUGUAAAACUAUCAGCUCCUUUAAUUUGAUUUCAAUCCACGCUUUGAUGUUUUUUGACGUUUAAUUAAUUGCCUACAUCAACAUUUCAUUAUGAUAUUAAGACUAAUAAGUUUAUACCAUGUCUGGAAUCUUGAUGUAUCUUUCUUGAUAACGCGAAGUUAAUGAAUAACUAUCAGCCAUCAUGAUAGGGUGCGAUUUUGUCAUUUAUUUUAUUAUUAAUUUUUUCUAAUAUCUGACCUGAUGUAGAUUAAUUAUUAGAUUUUACUCAUUUUUCGUAGUUUACAUUUAUUUUAGGAAAUAGAAUGAAAAUACAAUAACAAGUGCCAAUUUAUAGGAAAAAGAAGCCCAAGUCACAUAGCUUAGUCCAAGGGCAGUGUUGGCAAAGAAAAAAAGAUCUUUUGCCCUUUAUUUUGGAACGGCUAAACCGAAAGGGAGUUGUUCCUUUCCCUUGGGGAGCCGCCGCACAAGGCAAGAGCAGCAGAGGACUGAGGACGGCUGGCUUCCUUAGCCUUUCGUCCCGUAGCUUAGCUUUCACCUUUGACUUUUCCUUCCUUUGCUUCUUAGUAGUAGUUGCCUCUCGGAUGUCAGGAGCCAUUGAAGCAUUGAAUUAUUUCCCCUGUAGCUUUUUCGUUUGAUUUUUCCUUGCGGUCUGUAGUGAAUUCCUCCUACCACAUAAUGGCCGCAACUAUCGCUUCAGUUUUGUAUGGGUUUUUCUCAUCAAUAAUAAGUUAAACCCUUUUUUCUAGUCAAGGGACAAUGGAUGCUUUGGGAUGCCUAAAAUUGUGCCCUUUUAUUUAUUGGUAUCCGCAUAUUUCCUGAUUUCUAUACUCACGGUUAUUUAAUUAAUUGAUUGUUUUGGAUCCGGAUAAUUAAUUAAUUUGAUAAUCUAUUAUCAAUUGGGGACGUUAAAUCCGUAAUUGUUUAAUUGUCUCAAAAUAGUGAUAACUGGCAUGAUUGGGUUUGUGUCAGGGGAAUACGCGGGCUAAUCUAAAAUAACCCUGGUAGUGCGUUAUUUGAUUAGAAUAGGGCUUCUCUAAUACGUAAGGCAAUUGGGGAAUUAAAUUCUACGGGCGUACCUAGGAUUAUUUCUCAAUUAGAGCAGUGAUUAACGGGCGUACCUUAAUCACCGACACAGUAAGAAGCGGUUGACUGUCAUCGCUUGUUUGGCAGUUAUAACCUAUUUAUUGGUAAAUAAUUGUAAUUGGCUUUGUGUCGAUAAUCAAUUAGGUGAACCAUUGCUGAAGUUAUUCCUUAGCUAGACCCUCUGAUUUUAGUAAAUUGUUAUUUAAUUUCUAGUUGGCUAUUUUAUUUUUAUUAUUUUACUUUUAGUUGGAUUGCUUAAAUUGUCACCCCUGAAAUAAAAACACCCCCUUGUCACUGUGAAUUUAAAAAGAAACAAUUACUCCCAGUUCCUGUGAAUUCGACCCUGCUUACCACUAUCUACAGAAAUUAACUUUAGUUUGAACAGGUUUUAUUAUUGCACAGGCCAACAACCUAUCACAUCAGGACUAAUGAAGGGUGUUUUACACGUUGAUGUUUGCAUACAAGAGGCUUUUUUCAAUGGUCUAACUAGGAAAAAUUGGUGCCUUAUCUCUUUCUUGCUGUUAGUUAAAUUAAUUUACUGCACGGUCCCGUCUAGUUGCCAAGCUUGAGAAUGACUUUGAUUUUCAUUCCCAAUGUACUGCGUACUUUUCAAAAUCAGCCUUACGUAACACAUCAAAGAUUAAUACCAUAACAAGUUGAAAAUGCAGCAGAAAAGAAGGAAACGUUAUCUUGAGAAAUUUUCUAUGUCAAGUUGCAAGUGGUGUAGAGGAGGUAGUUUCUAAUGAUGCUAUUGAGAGAAUUGCAAAAUAAAUAAAUCUUGAUAUUUGGAAAUACUCGUUCAAGAUGCCAAAGUCUGCGCAUAGGUAAUUGAAGACAUUUUAUUUUUAGAUGUUCUAAAGUUUUAUAUUAGGCAAAGGCAUUUUGAAUACAAAUUUUAAUUAAAUUGUUGUACUAAUUUUGCAUCAGCAAUAAAAGGGUCAUUCAGGAAUAAAAGUUUUUUUUAGCGUUUUAUAUGAUUUUUAUGUAGAGGUGUUGACUUUGCUACGCUGAAACUCACAACAGGAAAUUAGGUCAAAUGUAAUAUUUAAAACCUUAGGUUCUGCGAGUGAAAUGAUCAGAAACCUCAAGGGUAGUUUUUGCAACUAUGACUAAACAAAUUGUGAAUUUGUGAAAUUUUCAUUUCAGUUUCUAAAAUCUUCUCCAAUUGAAAUUGUGAAUUUUGGGAAUGAGGUGCAAAAAAAAAACCAAUAUAUAACACUACUAAGAUCCAAUUUACAGUAAACAAAAGAUAAAAUCUACAGUUUUUGCCAUCGAGAAUGCAGAGGAAAAGUGGUCUAAAUCCAUGCAUGAUAUCCAUUUUGUUCCCCAUUAAAGUUGUUGAAGUCCAGAUCGAAGUCCUCCAUCCAUGAUGGUUCAAAAUACUGUACAGCACAGUAUAUUGUUGCUGUAGAUAAUUGUGUUGCAUUAAUACUGAACCGUGUAUGAGUCUGACACACACACACACACAUAAAAGUGUUUUAGACGUUCUUAGAUGAUAUUGCUGCAUGCGAUAGAUGCCGCACGGCAAAGCACAGGGUUUAUUACUAUCAGAAGCUGUUUCAAGCACCAUCACAGUCUCCACCAUCUUCUCAAGUGCCUGAUCAAGGAAGUUUACAUGGAUAUAUGAUUAAGCCAACUAAAUACGACUACUAAGAUGAUUAAAAUCGCCUGUCCUGUCUUAUCUGCGGAAAACAUGCUCCUCUCCGGACUGCUGAUCCAUGUGCGUGAUCCAACCUUUGGUGACUUUCCCUGAGCAUCGUUUUUCACCUGCAACAUAUGCGACAUCAAUUCCAUUCCCAAUUGGCAGAUUUCUUGAAUUCACGACGCUGACCGCACUAUCAAGAACCUUAUUCCAUCUGAACAGGAAAAGGUCUUUCUACUAGCAUUUUUACAUACUAAAACUGCACCAAGAUGGCUAAACUUGGCAAAACUGAAGACCCUGGUAAAAUCCUUGCAAUGGCCAUCAACAACCAGAAAAUCAAUACCAGUUAGCCUUCCCAUCAACUCCUCGGCCUCUCCAACCAUGACUUCCGGUAAUGCUAUGCCUGCAGGCCUGUUUUGCAUGGCGCAAGUAUAUUCUUGUCUUGACUUUUCAUCAGCUACAAUGCAUACGUGCCUUCCACCGGAGUGACGAGCGGCGAUUGCAAGACCGAUGCUAUUUUUUGGUGCAGCGCCACCAGUAGUCCACGCUUCGACGAUUAGCUUCGCGUUCCAUCCACCGGCCAUUGCAGAUAUCAACUCUGGAGCGCUGGAUUCCAUGGAAAGGCCACACUGCAAUAUUACAAAUUAAUUAUAUAUAUAUAUAUAUAUAUGAAAAAAAAAAAGACAACAUAAAUCGCUAAUCGUAGUCAAGAAUCACGAUUCAAGAAACGACUACAUGUAGCUAAAUUUAUUCCUUUUUCCUCCAAAUACAGUUGACUACUCACCACUGAUUCAAAAUUACAGCCUGAGCUAAUUGAGUUUCGGAAGCUGAUCUAAAGUUUUAGAAACUGAGGAAAAUAUGUAAUACAUAAAAUUGAACGGAGUUGACGCUACAUUCCAUGUCAAUACUGUAUAUAUAGCUUACGAAUUUCACAGUGUCAAUAUAAGCUUUUGCUGAUAUUUCAGGACACCAAAUCAGCUUCAUCUUUUCUGUCCAGCUUCUUCUUCUUCAAUUUUCAGUUAAAAUUUGAGAGUUAGGCGAGAAGGGAAAAAGAAAAAAAAAAAAAAAAAAAAAAAAAGAGCAAGGGCGGGUUGUACAGGGCAGUUUGUACUUUAUAUAAAGGUUUGAUCAGCUUAACAAAACAAGUAGACGACUUUAGCCAUAGAUGAGUAUGACAAAUGCCGUCGUCCAUUCAAAGAUUGUUUUUAAACGUAAUAACCGUUGACAUUUUUGCCUGUGGUAACUAUUAUAUAUAUUAACGGGUGCAAUAGCCAACAGCCAGAAUUGGCACCUCGAAUGAUCAGGGCCAAUUACACGACAAAGUCACAAAAGAAGCAGGAUGGAUAUCUUUAUUCCGGUCCAAGUGCAAGUUGGGGACGAGAAAUCUAAACCGUUCAUAAUGAAGCCAGGUAAAUAUUGAUAUCUCCACAUUGUCCCAUCAACUUUUUUAUAUUGCAAAAAUUUGUCGUAUAUGAAAAAAAAUUUGUAUUAAUUGAUACGCACCUCAAUUGCAUUAUAAACUUCUUAACUAAAUCUUGGACACGAUCUUUUGGCGCAACAGAUCUUCUGUCCCACGUCCUGUGCCACUCUCUGUCCCACUUUUUAUUAUAUUGCUAUUUCUCCUUCACAAACAUCAUGUUUUAAUUCCUUUUUAUUUCCUUAUGAUCCAAUAACUAUUAAUUAAGUAAAAAAUAAAUACAAUAGCUUCAAAAAACUAAUAUAUAAUAGAAAAUUAAAAAAUACAGCAGAAAAUUCAUAAAAAAUCUCAUUUUUUAUGCAUUUUGAUUUUUUGAGUUUGUUACAUUUUGUGUAUUACUCAAUUAAUAGUUAUUGGAUCAUAAGGAAUUAAAACAUGAUGUUUGUGAAGGAGAAAUAGCAAUAUAAUAAAAAGUGGGACAGAGAGUGACACAGGACGUGGGACAGAAGAUCCGUUGCGAUCUUUUGGGAACCAUUUUAUCUGCGAAAGAUCCCCUAUCUCACAUUCCUAUCCCACUCCAUGUCUCACUUUUCAUUAUAUUGUCAUUUGUGCUUCACAAAACACUUGAUUUCAUUAUUUUUUUUCCUUAACUUCUGAUAAAAAAUAUCAGGGCAAGAAACAAUUUACACCAAACUAAAAAAAAAAAAAAAUCUAAGAGAAAUACAGAAGAUUCAUGAAUUUUCUAUUGUUAAUUUUUUCUAUUAUAUAUAUAUCAUUGUUUUAACCUGUUGUAUUUUGCUUUUCACGGCGAGAUUCAUUAUUCGAAGUUAAGGGGAAAAAAAAAGAUAAGUGUUUUGUGAAUCACAAAUAACUAUACAAUAAAAGGUGAGACAGAAAGUGAAAAUAGAAAAAUCUUUGCACAUUUUAUCUCUAUACCACUUGUAUUAAAAUCAAACUAUACUCCAAUUUGGAUUACCAGAGAAAUGUGAGAAAAUAAAGAAAUAAUAAGGCUAUGUAAUGUAUUAAAAGCUGAAGUCUAAGUCCACUUACCACUUUUCCUACCACCUAGUUUUUCUUGUGCCCAACAAUUUAUACAACUGCUUGAUGCCCUGAUGUAUAUAUUUGAACAACCCUGGUAUGAUUGCGCUGGGGCACCUUGGUCUUAAAUUCAAAUAAAGGACCCUUUCCUAGUUGCAGCCCGUACGGACCUCAUACUAUGAACAUGCUGUACGGCCCCAACAGGGAAGACGACUUUCUUCUGCGUCUUAGAUUUUAAAAUCUACAAGUAUUUAAUGUGAAUUUAGGGAUGAGUAUGUGGGUUAAGUUCUAAGGCAUGGACUACAUAUAUGGAUCCAAGCAAAAGUAUGCAGGAAAUAUGAUAUUUUAAUUUUGGGUUGGGUCAAGAAGUCAGCAUGACUUUUUAGGUUCUUGUUUAGUUUUCUGAUCAAAUUUUCCUUCAAGUUGCAACUGUACAGCAAGAGUCUUGAUUAAGACGUAGAUGUCAAGAACUCCCUUCUGUCGUAAAUUUAGAUCUCAAUUUCCUGGAAACAUGAUCAGUUGGUAAUUAAAACGCAAAAUUCAUCCAGGCAUAAAACAGGAGCAAUAUGACAACAGUAGAGCUUUUCUGCAAAAAUUGAAUCACGGUAAAAAAAAAAAAAGCUCUGAGAAAAAUAUGGACCAAAUCAAUGCCCCGGGAUUAUAUUAGUCAGUCACUUCAUGGACUUGAGAAAAACUACAAAUUUGUUGAUUACCUUUUUCUUUUGGAUGAUUUGCUGGUUAAUUGUUGGGUUAGAUUCAAGUUGAUGAAGCAUCAAGCGCCCACUGAAUUUUAUAUAAAAAGUUGUCAACUUAUAACAUGUCUGCUUAGACAUAACCUCUUGAGCUUAUCUUAUCAACCCAACAAAUAAACAAAAUUGAAACUCCUCCUGUUGGAACUGGACUGCUUAUUUUAUAUGAUUCUCUUUCAAGAAUCAUUGCUUUGAUACCCAAAAAACUUUGAAGACCUCAAACAUUUGCAUCAACUAGUAACAGCCUUUGACAAUCAGCAUGCAUCCAAACCUGACCUGGUAUACUGCAUUAAAUAAUUGCCACCAUGUUUUUAAUUUCUGAUGGCGUUUUUUUCUCCAACUAAAAGAAAAAUCCCAAAAUCCCGGUCUCUGCUCAAGCUUCAAGCUUCGAAGCUGUUAACCACUUAACCAGGUUGUCAAGGAACCAAGCCUUAAUGAAAAUUUCAGCCUCGAUUUAAUUAACUAAGGCUCAAUUUGAAAACGAAAAUCAUUAGUCGCGCGUUGUCAACUUGAAAGGUGAAAAGCUAGUGAUGCAGUGAUGGAUUUCAACGCUCGUUUCCAUCAAAAUGCAAAAGCCAAAUGGACAUAAAAUUGAAUCCGUGCAGACCCGGCCCUCUACUUGGGAUUCAGUUGUCAAAUUAUGCGAAACCCAAAUGGACAUAAAAUCAAAGCUGUGCAUUGAUGUUAAUUGUGGAAAGUGGGUGUUUUUUGGGGAUCAAUUGUCAUUCCUUUACCGUCGAAUGCUUGUUUACUGUUAGUGUUUGGUUAAAAAUGCUAAGCCGUACGUCAAUGAGCAAAAUCAAAUGAUAUAUAGGUAUCUCAAAGAAACACAAGCGCCUGGCAACCACGCCAACAACGUCCUUGAUCUGGACCGGACAUCAACGCUUGAAAAGAUGAGGUUAUUCAGUUUUAACGUUAGAUGUGCUUUGGUACUACGAAACUGUUGAGAUUUUUUAGUCCAAGACGGGCGGAUCCUGUGCUUUACGAAGGUGGCCGGGAGGGCAUUGCCAUUCAAACUGCUCAGGACAACAUCCUGGCCUUGAACUCCAACUUCUUCCCUAUUUUACGACGUGGAUUGAGGACCAUUCGUGUUGCAGAUCAGUGUGCAAUUGCUAAAGAAGCUUCUCAGUUUGAUGGUUGAUGGAGAACUCAUGAGCUUCUAUUGCAAUGAUCAUCAUCGGCCAAAGACAAUAGUAUUUGUCAGAUUUAGCUCUGGUACCCUGAUGGUAAUUGAUGGAGGACAUCUCGUUGAGUCGUCUGAUUGUGAACGAUAUCAGUCCUCCAUAGACAAGGGUCACAGAAGUAUAGACCUAAAUGCUAAGAGGUUCCAUAUGGUGAUGUCCUCGUGGCAGUGUGCUCUAGGUAACUACUUCACAGUCCAAUUUUUAAUGUCAUGUUUCCUUUUUUUUUUUUUUUUUUUGGGUGUUCUGAAAUAACCAGUCAAUUCUAGAGCUAACAGACAAUAUUAGUUGAUUUCCAAUUUUGCCGAAUUUACCAUGUCAAUAGUUUAAAUUCAAAAAUUACAUCUGUAAAUUCAUCCUAUGGAACACAAUGAUUUACAUAUCUUUAUAUUAAAAAAAACUACUAUAUUAGUAGAAAAGAUGGAGUAUUAAGAAAUAUAAACUACACAAGCUUUAUUAUUAUAUAUAUGAAACAAUUUCAUGGUCAGCUUGUAUAGAAACCUCUAAAUUACUUAGAAAAUGCACGUACAUGCACAUGCAUUAGUGAUUAUCAAUCUAAAAUUUCUCUCAUGUUUUGAACUUGUAUAAGAAAAACAAUUCUUACUAAUCACUCAAGGAAAAGUAGUAACAUGCUAAUUUAACUUGAUGAUCUUGUAUUAUGUGUUCAUCCUUCCAAGUUUUAUUUCGAUAAGUUACAGUUUAAGACAUUAAAGAAGACUCAUAAAUUUUUUGUCGAAGAGCAAAAAAGGAAAAAAAAAAUGAAGCAUUUGAGAGUCGAAUUAGGUAUAUCACAGCCACCCGUUGCUAUCAACUAAACUAGGUCUUCCCUUAGGUUGGCAGUUCUAUUCAAUGGCUACCCGUUGAAAUGGUUGCCCCCAGCAGAGGUAUCCAGCAAGGAGACCCCAUCUCACCGUACCUUUUCAUCCUAUGCAUGAAAUUCUUAUCUCUAAGCAUAGAACAAGCUUCCUAUCCCACAUCGAAAGAUCGUGGGAUCUUUACUUUGGAUUUAAGGUCCACAGGGACCCUGUUCUGUCACCAAUUGGCUGAACAGUGAUUCUUUGUGAGUCCCUCUUAGAUUGUUUUAGGGCCGAUUUUUCGAUUAACUCUUGCGUUUGUUUAAAUUAGUGAUUCUUUGUGGGUUCCCUGCUUUAGGGCCGAUUUUUCGACUAACUUCUGCGCUUGUUUCAAUUAGUUGGAGACCAGAAAAUGGGAAGCUCUCAAAAUAGGAAGGAAUGGUCCCCUUUUAUCCCACUCCACUUUUGCAGACGAUAUUGUGCUCUUUUCCAACUGCUCAGAAGCUUCUAUUAGAGGAGUGAAGGAUGUCUUUGGCAAUUUCAACUUAAGAUCUGGAUUAUUUAUUAAUCCGAACAAGUCCAGGAUUUUUUUUCUCCAAAAUUGUGAGCCCACACUCGAAGGCCCAAAUAACUUCCUUCUUGAGGAUUGAUGAGACUGGAGAACUUGGAAGAUGCUUAGGAAUUCCCAUUGCUCAUUCUAGAAUCUCCAGCCAAUCCUUUAGCUUCAUUUUGGACAAGAUUCGGUCUAAACUUAGCUGGUUGGAAAGCUAGUCUCCUUUCUUUUGGGAAAUGGGGCAGGAAUGGCUGUCUUCCUAAAGGUUCACGGCCACGAUGUGGCCUCAAAAAUUUGUGCGGUUCAGAUUAUAGCAUGUAACUCGAUUUUCACGCCAUGUGUGAGACCCACAAAAAAUUAUAAAGUUACUCCAUGUGUAAAAAAAGUUACGCGAUGUGCAAAAAAUGUUACGCACUGUUGAAAAAUGCACAAACCGACACAAACGGUUACUGCCCUUGUCCUUUCUUUUGCUAGAAGGAAAGCAGUCAUCCAACAAGUUACCUUGGGCAUCUCCUCCUUCUAUGCCAAUUGCCCAUAGCACCCCGCUACCAACUGCAACUUGUGAAGCCAUAGAUAAAAUCCAGCAUGACUUCUUACGAGGCUUCACCCCUGAAAAAGAAAAUUGCACUUAGUCAGCUGGGAGCUGUUACUAUGCCAACGUGUCAGGGGGAACUUGGUCUACAAAAACCUCUUACGUUAAUAAAGUAGCAAUGGCAGGUCUUUGUUGGCGAUUAAUGCACACCCAACAGCAACCUUGGAGCCAUAUUCUACGCCAUAGGUAUACUAAUGAGCCCCAAUCCUGGCAACAAAGGAAAUUAGCACUUGGAAUCCUCAGUGACAUUUUUUCUAUGCCAACCCAAUGCCACCUAUAAAAUUGUGCAAGUGUUCUGUUAUUAUUUACACUUGUAUUAAACCAAAUCAAGUUGAAUUAUUAGAAAAUUAAAGUGUAAAUAAUAACAGGACAUUUGGCGCAAUAUUAUAGGUGGCAUUGAAUUGGCAUAGAGAAACAUGUCACCGAGGAUCCCAAGUGGGAAAUUAGUGCUAUCAUCAAGACAAGGUUCCAUCAAUCAAAAAAUGCUUUACCUUAGGAAGGAAGUUUAUAAUAAAGGGUUGGGAUAAUAUUAGAUACCUCCCUUGAAAUUUUUUCUAAUAUCACCUAACACCCCUAAAAUUAUACAAAUAUUACUUACUGUGACAGACUCAUCUUCCCCUAAGAUGUACUCCAAGGGUUAACGGACUACCUAUCCAACUAUCAUCAGGAUUCACUACCCAAAACGAUCAACACAACUUCAAAACAUCACAACCCAAUGUUAUAUAUAAUAGAGUCACUAUCGAUUCAAACUAAGAGCACAAGUCAAAGUUUUCAAUCUUACAUGAGUACAUAUAAGGUUUACUAAUACAAAAGAGUUUAAACAAAACGCCUAAGGUCUAGUACUAGAGUUCAAACUCUUCCCAAAAUUACCAAACCCAAAUCUUCACACUUGAAUGUUCAAUAAGAUACCACAGGGUCAUGCAGUCAGAAAUAAAACGAAAAAACAAAAUCACAUAGAUCGGUCAUUAAGUUAUCAAACAGAAGUAGCAAUUUAAAGAGACAAAUGAACACCACAACCAACAUAGAGUGAUUCAGGUAAAAGGAUAUAGUUAGAUCUCGAGAGCUAAAUUCCCAAUCGCAAUAGUUUGAUCCAAACCCGUUGACACUCCGUCAACAUUUAGAGAAGCAGAAACAUUGUCUGUGGAUCACCGCUUUACACCAAUUUCUGUCCACCAUUCAUUCUCUUUACCGGGCCCAAACACCAAACAGUGAAGGUAAUAUUCGAGUAUACCAAAUUUCGGAAUAAAAUCAGAACUCAGUGAAUCAAUAACAAUUUUCCCACGGCCUGUCAAUUUAUCUCGACCAAACCUUUGCCAGUUCGAUUCGAUUAACUAACCAAUGAGAUUUGGGCCCAAAUUCACAGUGUGGUCAUUGGAUAGUAUGUUCCAAAUGACAUUCAAAUAAAACACAAGUAAUAAAUUUCAAAUGAACAGUAGAACAAUCACCAAUCAAGUGGGAUCGAGUGUGAUAAGGUACACACCCCGUCCAGCCAAGAGUAAAUCAAAGUCACGAUCAAACAAUCAUAACUUUCAAUCACAUAGUAGUUCACCUAAGUAACAAGUCAUAUAGGUGGUACACUCACCAGUUCAAAGCAGAACAAUGUUAGACGUUUGUUUCCCAGUUAUUCUUGUUCACCGACAAACCCUAAGAGCAAUCAAGAUAAAAAAAUAUUAUGAUCUAACCAUCCAAAACUUAGGUGAACCAAGGAAAAAUUCAAAUAUAUAUUGGGGCAAUGAUUCAAAUAUAAUUUUGGAGUGAAAAGAAAGCAUUUAAACCCAAAAAACAUGAGCAACCAAAGGAAAAAAAUAUGAAUUUAUAACUCAUGAAACUCAGCAAAACAUACAUAAAAUAUACACACGACUUUUGAAAGAAAAACGACCAAACUCGAGUUUAAAGUCGGACAAGUACAACUAGAAAACACGCUUGAAACAACCAUUACUUUCCUCCUUAUAUCAUAUAUGAUUUUUGACAAAAAUUCAGUUUAUGCGUCACAACCAAGGUGGAUUUAAGCAACCAUAAGUAACAUAAGUCCAACAGACCAAAAAUCACACCUCUACGCUCACUCUUAUUCACUUACAUCAAAGACAGGGAAAAAAAAAACCAGCAGCAUCUCCCCUAAUUUCUUUAAGUUUCUUCUGCAAAUUCAAAGUUUAACUUCAUGGCAAAUCAACUUUAAUCAAAACCACAAGUUAUAAAAUAUAAGAGGUACUUGUUCUAGACCACAAAAUUAACUAAACUCACAUAUAAACCAUAUCAAAACUGAAAAUGAACCUUAAAUUGAAAUUUACAAACAAAAGUUGAAAAUUCAUAUAUUGAAACCAAAGUACAUACAAAAAUUGAAAAUUUCUCAUAGCAAAACUGAAAUUAGCAUUUCCAGACUAGAAUUUCUCGAUCAAUGCUGGAAAUUUCGAACUACUUCACAAAAUUAUGAAAUUUUUCAUGAAACCUACCAUAAUCAAGUUAUAAAUCCAUUCAAGUGUAAAAUAAAAGAGAAAAUGUAAUUUCUUGACAUGAAUAUCUUCAAACCCUAAGGAGAAAUGCAAACAAGAGUGUUCUUUUCCCCAAAUUACUCCACACAAGCUUUCCCUCCUUCCUUGAUACAACUUCCUAUACGGAUUGGAUUAGGGUUUUAGGAUGAAUUUCUAAAGGAAUCAAGUGAGAAAUCAAGUUGAAAAUUGGAGUUUUUUUUCUCUCUCUUUUCUCUCCUUAGAGGUUCAGCCAAGAGCAAGGUAAGAAUGAGAGGUUUUUGGUUCAAAUUUUUAAGAUAAAGUCAAAGACUAAUCUUGUCGAGAGAGGUUUAGAUCGUCGACAAGUGGCGGCUUAGGGUUUCAAGCUUAUCUCUUUGUCUUUCCUUUGUCUCUAAUCACUAAUCUAUAUUGUUUUCCUCUAAUUCACUCUUAACACUUCUAAUCACAUAAUCUUUCUUGCCAAAUACCUAUUUUUGUCCACCAAAUUUAUUACACAACUCACUAGUAGGUCUCACUUUCAUAAUGCACUACAAACUUAACAUGUACUAACUUAUAGAAGAAAAACAAUAAAAUAUUGACUCACUUAUAAAAGUAUCUAAGAAAUUAAGGCAAAUAAACUAAAGUAAAAGAAAACGUAUUUAAAGAAAUAAGAUAAAAUAUAAAAUAAUUUUCAAAUCCUCACAAGUCCUUAUACUUACCUCCCAUAGUAAUUGCAAAAAAACUAUAUUAACUCUCACUUCAAAUAUAAUUCACAUAUCAAAUAAAAGGAGCUAAAAAUUAAAAAAAGAAAAAAAAGUCAUUUUUCUCUUUUUCUUUUCUUCAAUAUUCUCUCUUACUUAUUUUUUUGGAUGACUACGCAAUUUUAUUUGUAAAUUAUAAAUAAAUUGAAAUUGGUUAUCUUUACUAUUUAUAAUUGUGAUAGAGUGGGGUAUGAUUUAUUUGCUUAUUUUGAAUUAUUUUUUAUAAUGAUCAGUACAAUUCAAAAGUUUGGGCACCAGUUGAGAAGAAGUUGGAAAAAAAGAUAAAGUUCAUAAGAAAUCAAUUUUGAGCAUACAAAGUUAAAUUGGUCAACUAUAUUUCUUUGCAAAUAUUUUUAAAUAUAUAUUUUUAUGGACUAUAGUAUUAUGAUGUGGUAGUACUACUAGAAAUUAUUUUUUAAAUGGUAAUUUUCUUGAAGUAAAUAAAGAGAUCUAGGAAUAUUUUUAUUUAACAAGUAGAAGGGUAAUUUAGGAUUUUUUAAAAUUUUGUUACACAAAUAACGAAAGUAUGAGAGAUAAGUGAUAUUUUAAAAAUUUUAAGGGUGUUAGGUGAUAUUAAGAGAAAUUUCAAGAGAGGUUUCUGAUAUAAUCCCUGAAGGGGUUGGAUGAACUAUUGGGAAUGGAAUCCUGGCCAAAGUUUGGUGGAUGAUUUGAUGGGCCUAGCCCUUUAAGACUACUCAUCUCGAGGCCUUUUGAUGAAAGGAAAGAUAGAUUAGUAGUUAACCACUUGAUUGGCGAGGGCUCCACUUGGAAUCGAAACCAACUAUCUUUCAUCUUAUUAGAGAGGAUUGUUCAUAUAAUAAGGGCUAUUCCAAGGUAGCAAUGGACUAAUAUGGAGGAUUCCAUCCGAUAGAAAGCCAAUCUUAAUGGGUAGUUUGGCCUGAAAUCUGGUAUCGAGAGACUGUGCUCUAAUAGGGAAAACUUCAGCCAAAGUGAUCUUUCUUGGAUCUGGAAAGUGAAUGCAAGCAAUAAAGUCAAGAAUUUCCUUUGGCUGGCAUGUGGAGACAAACUCCCUACCAAAAGUAAUCUUCAUAGGAGAAAUAUUCUACAAGAGAAAGCUUGUCCUUCAUGCAAUCUCACUUAUGAAGACAUCUUUCAUGUUCUUGGCCAUUGUUAGAGAGCAACAAUUUUAUGGGCUAAAUUGUCCCUGCCACACCAAUUGUGGCUUAUGGAGAACUAGCUCCUUCAUAAAUGGUUGAAGAGCUCUUGCUCAAAUUCCACAAUUUCUCCUACUACCAUUUACGCGUGGGCAACUAUAAUAACCUUUGGUUGUUGGAUAUUGUGGAAAAAGAGAAAUAUGCUGCUGUUUGAGCCACAUAACCUUCUCAGAGAUUCAGCUAAAGAUACAUUAGCUACCGUCGCUGAAUAUCUCAGCAUGGGACCUGGCACUAGCAAGACAUCUCGUUCUAAAGAGCUGAUCCCUAUCUGCCGAGAUCCACAUCCUCUCAACUCUUUUAAACUGAAUACUGAUAGGUCCUCCUUGGGAAACCCAGGUCCAACUGAAGCAGGAAGCAUUAUGCGGAAUCAUUUUGGAGAAUGGGUUUCAAGCUUCACUAGAAACCUGGGAUAGGCCACAAAUACAACAGUUGAACUUUGGGUGCUGAGGAACGGAUUGUCCCUAGCAAAAUCUCUUUACAUCCAGCACUUACAUAUGGAAUUGAAUGCAAAAAUCUUAGUUGAUAAGCUAUUUACUAAGAAUUGUCAGACUCACUUCGCCUCCCCUUUUCUUUCUGAUUGCAGGACUAUCAUGCAGAGCUUUCAAGCCUGUACUAUUAGACAUGUUUUCCGCAAAGCUAAUAGAUGUGCGGACUUUUUGGCAAAAUUGGGCACUGAAACUUCUGAAGAAUUUAUUUUGUACCCCUCCCCCCUAUACCCUUGUUUAGGAUUUCGAAUGAUGAUGGUAGGGGACUCUACUUAUCCCAGCUUGUAAACUCUUAAGCUUUAAUUAAUUUCUAUCCCUAUUCUUACAAAAAAAAAAAAAGUUUAUCUGGGGACAUAAGUCAAAAAUUCAUGCAUAUCCUAAAGGAUAAUUUCAGAAACCUUCCCUGAAAUUUUUCACAAUUUCACUCACCUUCCUUCAAGUUUGAAUAAUUAUACUAACAUCUGUUUAUGUAGUAAAAUGACUAUAAUAUCUUUCAUUUAUAGAAAAUUCUACAAAAAAAAAUCUACAACUACAACUAGUUUUUCAUUCUAAAACAACGACUACCACACAAAAUAAAUUCUUAUUCUCUCUCUUACCUUCUUUUUCCUAUUUCUCAUAAUCCACUAGUUUUAUACCAUCUAUACAACUAUCUAAUACAUCUUGAAUCCUCAUUAUUAUGGAAAAUAGAUCCUUCUUUUUUUUUUUGCCUUUUUUUGUCAAUAUUAUUGAAUUAAAAUUGCUAAAUGACAAAUUGGCGAAUCAAAUUUGUUGUCAAAGUAAAUGAAGAUGAAAAGGACGGCGGUGAUACAGAGUACGGAUAAGAAAAUAAAAGUGAUAGCUAAAAAGGGAACAUGAAUUAAGGAAGGUUACGUUACUAUGCCAAUUGUGUAUAAAGAAUUUUGGGAUAUAAAAAUUGCAAUCAGAUUUGCCAAGAGACAUGGAAUGUGGCCUCUAGUCUGUUUUUGGUUGUUUCAUGUUGACAUUCCUGGUGGGUUAGAUUAUUUUAGUAUCAAUAAGGUUGCAGCCAUUUGUAUUGAGUUUGGAUAGUAGCAUUGAUCAAUUCAAACAUUGAAUUUAGGCAAAAAAAAUUGAGGGUAAAGAUUAGGUUGAAUGCAAAUUUUAAUUGUCACAGUUGAUUUGCAUAGGAAACUAUGAGACGGCAAUGGUAGGCUGUCAAAAUCGUGAGAAUAUGAAAAUUAACCUGAAGUGGUUUAUUAAGUUCGUGAGGGUGAUGAUUAUAACGUUUAUAAUAGUUGCAAUUCAAAGAAAUUUAUUAGUGAGCUUUUGCCUAUUCUAAGUAAUAAAGGGGUAUUUUAGGAUUUUUUAGAACAAAUUUAGCAUACUGGGUCUAUAUUGUUAUUGAAAUGCUAAUCAUAGAGAGGAAGGUGUAAUUUUUUAAACUAAAGGGGAGCCUCCUGCAGUAAUCAAAAACCUUAGCGGAGGUUUUUCAAAUUAUCCCUAGGGAAUUUCGCCAUUUCGUCCCUAAACUUUUACAUUAAAACCAAUUUCGUCAUUUAUGAUUUUUUUUAGCUAAUUUAGUCCUUUGACUAUUUUGAAUUUCCAAUGUAGGACUUUUGCGACGGUGACACCACAUUUUACAUAUUCUGUACAACGGUGAUGGGUAUAUCUAUCAUUUUAAAUUAGAUUCUUUAAUUUAGACGGAUCUUUGACCAUAGUUCUUCUUCUUCGAUGAAUUUCACUGAAAAUUUCAUUUGGAUUUAUUGGAAACUUGCAGAAACUCUCUCUCACACACUCAAAUCAAGAAACAAAAUCCAUGAGAAAAAAAUAGAAAACCAAGAACCAAAAUGAAAAUUGAAGCAAAAUUUGAAAGAGAAAUCUCUCUCAUACACAAUUUUAAAUCUACUCACCGGCAAACUCAUUUUGUUUGGUUCUGAUUCUUCGAUCCUCCAUUCAUGGUUGCUAGCAAAGACACCACCAAUUGUCACUACCGAUCCACUUUCAUCCUUCAACUCUCUCAUGACUAGUCAUCAUUCAUUUUUCAUCUUGAGUUUCAUAUGAACUCAUAAGAAUCUCUCCAAAAUCCUUGUGGAAUCUUAGUUGUAGAGUUGUAUACUCCAUUUUAUUUCCAAGAAAAGAACCAAAAACAGAAAACCAACAAAAACAUUGAGGGAAUCCAAGGUGCAAGGGGAGCUCGCUGCUGCUGCCAGCAUCAGCAUUGCCGGAGUUGCUAUCGUCUUGCUAGAACCACCACUACUUACAAAUCAUCAUGACGAAAGCACUGUGAGGUUUCCAUAAUCCUUUUUUUCUUUUAAUCUCUAGGUUGAGAUGAUUUUCUUGGCCUUUGAAAUUGCUAUCUUUUUCCUGUAUGCUUUGUUUUGUAGAUGAAUGAAAUUGGACAGUGAUACUUGCUGCAAUUUCGUUGUUUCUUUUUCACAUUUUCUACUUAAAUGAGGCUUGACAAGAUAUUUUUCGACUCAGCCAUAGUCAAAUUUCAUACAAAAAUAUUCAAUUUUUGUGAUGACCUUAAUCUGUUUGACAAAAUGUCCAAACGAAAUGAGUUUGUGAGUAGGUCCGAGAGUAUGUUUGAGAGUCAUUUCUCUUUUAAAUUUUGCUUCACUUUCCUUAUGGUUCUUGAUUUUAUUUUUUUUGUUUAUGAUUUGAGUGUGUGUGAGAGAGAGUUUGUGCGAAUUUCUGGUGAAUGGAAUGAGAUUUCCAUUGGAGAAGAAGAACAAUGGUCAAAGAUCCAUCUAAAUUGAAGAAUCUAAUUUAAAAGGACAAAUAUAUUCAUCACCGAUUGUACGGAAUAUGUAAAAUAUGGUGUCGCCGCUGCAAAAGUCCUACGUUGGAGACUUCAAAAUAGUCGAAGUACCAAAUUGGCUAAAAAAAAUCAUAAAUAACAAAUUUGGUUUUAAUGUAAAAAUUUAUGGACGAAAAUGGCUAAAUUCCUUAUCCCAAUACUAUAAUUAGUAUCUCAAAUAUGGUAUACCUUUUCAUCAUGGUCCAAGUGGACCAGCAACGGAAACAGAAAAAUUUUCCUUAUUGGCCCAGCCGAUCUGUUUCAUUUCCUGGCAAUCAAUCGGCUCAACUGCUGAAUUGUGACUGAACUCCAUCCAGAAUAAAUAAAUAACGGCCGUAAAGACUAAAAAGUGAUCUUUGACAGCAGAAGGGAAUAUCCAGUUUAGAGAGUAAAAAAUCCAAGCUUGAAACAUCAACACUGAUGACAUUGUCUGGAAAUUUGCAUCAACCAUGGAUUUCAAUACUUCCUUUCUCUCCACAAUUCAAAACCCAAAUGGACAUUAAUCAAAUUCAUGCAAAAUUACUAACCACUGGCCUCAUCAAGAAUCUUUACUUGACCCGAAAACUUAUCCUCAAAUUCUCAAACUCACCACACAAACCCCUGAUACAGUUUGCCAAAUAUCUCUUCUUCUCAAGUCAAGCCUUCGACGACUCACGAAAUAAAGCUGACCCAUUGAUUUGGAAUUCAGUAGUCAAGAUCUAUUCGCAUGGCAGUGACCCUGAGAACGCUUUGAAAGUGUUCGUUUUAAUGCUUGAAAGUGGGGUUUUAGUAGAUGAGUACUCUCUUUCCUUGGUGUUAAAAGCGUGUUCCAGAGUGGGUUUGGUUAAAAAUGGGAUGCAGAUACAUGGGUUGCUGAAGAAAUGCGAAUUUGGGUCUGAUUUGUUUCUUGGAAACUGUUUGAUCUCCAUGUAUGUAAAAUGUGGCUGCAUAGAGUAUGGUCGCCAAUUUUUUGACAGAAUGGCUGACAAAGACUCUGUUUCGUAUAACUCAAUGAUUGAUGGGUACGUGAAAUGUGGGAUGGUAGAUUUUGCACGUCAAUUAUUCCAUUCUUUGCCAGCAGGGAUGAGGAACUUGAUAACUUGGAAUACUAUGAUCGGUGGGUUUGUGAAGUUAGGGGAUGGUUUUGAGUCGGCGUGGGAGUUGUUUGAGAAAAUGCCUGAGAGAGAUGUUGUUUCAUGGAAUAUGAUGAUUGAUUGUUGCAUAAAGAGUGGGAAAAUGAGGAUGGCCCAAAUGUUGUUUGACACCAUGCCGAGAAGGGAUGUUGCCAGUUGGGCUAUUAUGAUUGACGGUUAUGCCAAAAGCGGAAGUGUUGAUGUUGCUAGAGGCUUCUUUGAUGACAUGCCAGUAAGGGAUGUAAUUUCUUGCAAUGCAAUGAUGGCAGGGUACCUAAGGAACGGUUCUUAUGUGGAAGCACUAAAAAUGUACCAUGAUGUGUUGAAUAAUAGUGAUUUUGAACCUGAUAAAACUACUUUCUUGAUUGCUCUUUCAGCAGCUGCACAUUUGGGCAACAUCAAUGAGGGGGUUACCAUACACAGUCAUAUGAAGAAUAAUGGUCUUUUUGCAGCUGGAAAACUUGGUGUUGCUUUGAUAGACAUGUAUGCAAAGUGUGGGGACAUCGAUUGUGCUUUGAGCGUAUUUGAGGACAUCAAAGAGAAAAGUGUUGAUCACUGGAAUGCUAUGAUUGGGGGAUUGGCUAUUAAUGGCUUGGGUGAGCUAGCUUUUGAUAUGUUCAUGGAGAUGGAGAGGCGUUGCAUAGAACCAGAUGAUAUCACUUUCAUUGCUUUGCUUAAUGCUUGUGGGCAUGCUGGCAUGCUUAAAGAAGGUAUUAUCUGCUUUGAAAUUCUAAGAAGAGUCCACAACAUGGAUCCGAAACUCCAACACUAUGGGUGUAUUGUAGACAUUCUUAGCCGAGCAGGACAUAUAGAGGAAGCCAGGACAUUUGUCAAGGAAAUGCCCAUUGAGCCCAAUACUGUGAUUUUGCGUACUUUAUUGGGUGCAUGUAAGAAUCAUGAAAACCUAAGCACUGGGGAGCCUCUUGCUCAGCAUCUAAUUGGACUGAAUUCCCUUAACUCAAGUUCAUACGUCCUUUUGUCAAAUAUAUAUGCUCAACUCGGUUUGUGGGACAGUGUUAGGUGUAUCAGGACAAUAAUGAAAGCAAAGAAUGUGAAGAAAUUCCCUGGCUGCAGUUGGAUUGAACUUGAGGGAUUAGUUCACGAGUUCUUUGUUGGAGAUACAUCCCAUUUUCAAGUUAAAGAGAUUUUUUCUACGUUGAACAGAUAGAUUAGUUGAAGCUAUGAGGCUUUGAAGCCUUGAAAUUUCUCGAUAUCAAAAAUGGGAAGCACAAUGUGAAUAAGUAGAUAAUUCUGUAGCCAUAACAACAUAUUCUCUGCUUCCGUCAAGGAUAUCCACAUCCGCUGUUUCUCCUUGAUGCCAUACAGCAGCUAUUUUUUUCUCAUCCCAAGUUCAUGUACAACAUGCAAAGUUCACUUAGUAUCUUGUAAGUUUAUGAUGCAUCUCGAGAAAGCAAUUGCAAGAAAUUUCAAGUUACAAAGCUUACUUCAGUUUGUCUUUUAGUUGUUCCAUUCUUAUUUAUGAAAAAGAAGAAAAAAAAAGUAAGGUUGAAAAGACAGUAGGCAGGUUUGUGUUGCUAUCUCAUAACAGCCAUUUUUCAUCCAAAAAUUAUAUCAUUUUCGUAAUUAUAUUUUUUUAUUAUUAUUUUUUUAAAUACAUCAAAUCGUUACAGUAAUUUUUUUAUAAAAAAUUUAAAAAAAAUACAAUCCAAACAAGUUUAGAUGUUACUGGGAAACUUAUCCAGUGACAGAAACAUCAAAAUCGCAUUUGUCAUAUAUCUUUGAUAUUUCAGCAAUUUCGAAGAAUUAUCUUAAUAACAUUCACAUGGUCUACAAGUCCGAUUCAAGAUGUAAUGUCUGCCUGCAUGCUGCAUCAUUACGAAACAUCAGAAAAGUCAAACUCCACAGCUCCACAGCUAGACAACCGGACUACCAAUUAGUAG